AUUUAAAAUUAUAUAAAAAAAUUUUUAAAUUCGAAUAUUUACUUCUAAUAUUUAAAUUAAAAACGCCGACAAUACCAAACGCAACCGGCAAAAUUUCUUCCCUCCGCCACCGCCCCCACCGUUUUCUCUCGGCUCAGUAUCGAGCUCCAAAUAAACGCAUCCCUCAACCAAAAUUUUACCCCCCAAAAAAAACUCUUCUCUCUUUCGCUCGUCUCCUCAAACGUCUCUAUUUUCCUUUAUUCUGCUCUAUUUUGAACAAAAAAAGACUUUUCUUCACUUAUUUUUCUAAUAUCUCUCACUAUCUCUCUCGAUGCCCUAGCCACCUUCCCUCACCGGAACUCCACGGGGCGCGUCGUACCGCCGGCGAUAUCUGUGGCACUAAACUUCCGGUUUGGUUUGUCUUUUUUCUAUUGGAUUCUGGAAUUAUCUUUGAAUUUGGAUUUGAUUACGCAAAAAAAUCGAAAAUGACGGCGUCGAGGAUUUGUUAGGGUUUUAAUCUUGAUGGCUGGGACUCGUAAAAGGGGAGGGAAUAAAUCAAAAGUUAAGAAUUUAAGUUUAGGAGAUCUUGUUCUUGCCAGUCAAGGGUUUCCCUGCUUGGCCUGCCAAGGUCUCUUCCUUUUUCUCUUCCCUUUUAUUUUAUUAUUAUUGUUACUUUCUUUCAUCCUGAGUUAUGGGUACUUUAUAUUUUGAUGAUUAAAUUUUUAAUUUCUUAUAUGCUUAUUUGAACUUAUAUAUUUGAAUAAAUCCAUGAUGAGUUUGGGAUUUUUUUUUUUUAAGUUUUGCAUGAUGUUGUUAAGUUUAUUUUAUGCUUACAUUGUCAUACUUUGUAUUUUAUUUGUUGCUUUUAUACUCAAUUUGUUUCCUUUAGUAAAUUUUGUUUUAUUUUGUGAAAGGCCUAUUUUUGGAGUUCAAAGUUUUGCCAUGCUUAUGUUAGCUGAUUGUGUUUUUAGUGUUUCAGGUUUGGUACUUUGCCUGUUUAUCAAUUGGGUUACUUAAUGCAACUAUGCAAGUUCUUUUUUUUUUUUUGGACUGAAAACAAGUCGGACAAAUGUGUGUUUUUUUUUUUUUUUGGCUGCAUGCUAGAUUUUUGAUCCUAGAAAGUGUCAUCAGAAAUUUAGUGAGGAAUUUUCAAUUUAUUUUUUUGUUUUUAUUAUUUUGUUACUUAGAACUCAGUUGGUUUGUUGUGAUUUUGGUUUAUGGUUGGUUUUUGAGGUAGAUUCUAUGGGCUAUAAAUUUCAGAUUAGCCGGCCUGAAGAUUGGGAGCAAGAACCUGACCAUAGGAAAUAUUUUGUCCAAUUCUUUGGAACACAAGAAAUUAAGUAUUUUUGUGUUCAAUUUGAACAUGUUUGGUGAAUGACGGAGAUGGCAACAUGAUGAAUAAAGAUAUGUGAUGUGUCUGUUUUAGGGUUUGCAUCUGUUUUCAGGUAGGAGAGAAACCACAUUUACCAUAAGAUGGAACAUGAGGUAAAUACAUGAAAGGUGUUACUGCAUAAUUUCUUUAAAAAAAUAUUAAUUUUUUUGUAUUCCAAAUAACUUGUUAUCUAUGUCAAUCCAAGCAGACAAACCUUGAUGUACACUUUUUCAUUUCCUGUCAAUGUUGUUCACAUAGGGUGCUUGCUGACUAGAGGAUACAUUGAAACUGACUUGAUUUAUUCUAUCUCUGUGCUGUCUGUAUACAUCGUUGCUUUUCUUUCCAUCCAGCUCCUGUGAUCAAGAAAUUGUAGGAUGCACAUUGUAAUAUCAACAAGGGGAAAAUUGUAAUAGGUAGGGCUCUAUGCUGAGUCCUCUAUGUGUUACAGUACUGAACCCUAGGCAGCUCUGUCAUUUAGCUUUAGGUUGCAUGAUAUAAACUCAUGGAAGCUCACCAUUCUAAUGUUCAGGGAGUACUCUUUCGCAGAUGUGAUAGUCAUGCAGAUUAUCUGGGAAUUUUAUGUCUUAUAGUUUUUUUCAUAUGAUAAUUUGAGAAAUGGUGAGAUGUCCUUUGGGUAACCGACCUUUUCAAUCUAGGAUGCAGAAAAUCAAAUAUUGAUACAAUGACAAAUGGUGCAAUAUUUUUCUACUUCUACAGGUUCUUGAUAUAGAAUGUGCAUCUUAUGUUGCCUUAAUUAAUCUUUUUUAAUGUAAUUUUAAUAUUUGAGUUAUUAUUUCUUUUGGAGUAGUGAGAGAUAUCUUUCCUCCAUUUUGUGGUUGUUGUUAGCUAACAAUGCUUAGGCUCUUAAUACAUGUGUAUUUGUGGGUUGUAGUGAAUGUUGAAGUCAUAUUGUUCAACAAAGCAAUGUGUUUAGCCUAAUUAGUAGGCAUGAUCAUUUCUUUACCACUAAAUCGUAACUGUGCUGAAUUUGAAAUUUGGUGUAGCUUUUUUGGUGUUUGAAUUGAAUGGCAUUGCAAAUUUACUUUUUUUUUUUUAUUGUUGGUGUUAAAUGGAUUUGUGGUUUAGUUAUUUUUGUAUUCUAUGUUAGAUUUAUUCUCACAUUUACAUUAACAUAGAACUUAGAAUUAUUUUUUAAAAUUUAUUGUUGAUAAUGACCAAUCUUGAUGGAGGAUUUAUUUGUAGUAUAUGGCUGUAACACAUUUAGGGUGCAAUAAUGGAUCUUUAUUUUGUGCAAUGGAACUUUUAUGUUUGUAUAAUGGAUCUUCUUGAAUGUUGAUUGGACAGUUUUUGCAGCUACAAGUAUCUUGAAAAGAAAUAAAGUUCAAACGAAUCUUGUAUAUAUUUGGAAAUAAAAAGUUUUUCAGUUUUACUAUCAUGUCAAGGUUUGCUUGAAUAAAUUACUUAAGUUGUGUCUCAGUAGCCUCCCAAAUUCUAACCAUGAAUUAGAGGAGCAUUUCUGGUUCUGGUUAUAUUCUAUAUGUUAUAGUUGAGCAGAUUGAGAUUUUAGCUGAAGUUUGUUAAGCGUCAACAUGUGGUGGUUUAGAUAUGGUAUGCUCGGAAGCCUUGAGUAAUGGUAUUUUAAAUGCCCUGAAAAUGAGUACAGGUGGAGUUUUCCUUAGAAACAUUUGCAUAAGUCAUUUAUUUAUGUGGAACCAUUGAAGUGGUUUUGGGAUAUUCGUUUUUUUGAACUUUCAUCUGUCAGGGCUUUCUUUUGGGAUUUUUUUCUCUAAAUUCUUAGACAUUUUGUUCUAUCCAUAUUGCAUAUUUAUAAUCAUGGUUAAGCUGUGAAUGCUUAAUCCUUAACCUUGGAUGUAAACUUUAUUCCCUUUUGGAUCAUAAUGACUGGACGAAGAUGCUUCUGCUCCUGAAUUAUGUAGAAGACAUUUUAGUUUGUUGAAAAUAGAAUCUGUUCUUCCUGUCUUUUGUUUAUUUUUUAAUAGUUGGUUAUAUAUUUUCCCAUAUUCCUUUAGGGCAUCAUGUUCAUGCACAUGUGAGCAAGUUGAUAAAUUUAAACAUCUGCAUCUUUUUUUUUCCCUUAAAGAUAGUGUUUAUGUAAUCAGAUUUUCAUAUUUCAUUUUUGAAGCUUUUGACUCUGCAUUUUUAGUGUAAAAAGGAGCAAUGCUUUUCAUCCCAGCGAAGAGAUGCAUGCAUGGAUCGUUAUUUUUUCUUACGCUACUCUUUGAACUUCAAUUCACUUGUGUUCUAGUUGUUUUUUUCCCACCAUGUUUUUCUUCUUUUAAAGAGCUUUUGUUGCACCUGGCAAUAUUCAAGCGUUUACCAUUGAGACAGUAAAUUGUUGGGUUAAGUAUCAAGUUGUUAAAACCAAGUACUUUGUCCAAGCUGUGAAGGAAAUCUGUGUGGCAUUUGAUGAAUUACAUAAAGAGAAGUCCAUUGGUUUGAAGAUGAAACUGAUAGAUCAACACCUGGCUGUGAGACUUCAUCUGUUGAUGGGGUUGAGGAUGACGGUGCAAGAUGCAAAAAUGCAUUUGAGAAAUCCAAAGAUGUUGAACAGCCAUUGAAAAAAAAAAAAAAAAGAAAUGAAAUGAAGUAUGGUUCUCAGGGCAUUUGAACUUAUGGAAAAGUUAGUGGGAGUGCCAACAAAAACAAGAUCCAAGGUAACUAUACAAUUGGCUGAUUUAAUGUCUUCUUCAUAUGUUGUGGCUCUCUAAUUAAAUAAUGUAAUAAUUUGUUAAUAGGGAAAAUAAUUAUUGAAAAUAAACAUCCUAAUCAUGUUAUUUACAAGGGAUGUGUAGCUGUGGAGAAUUUUAUUAUAACUGCAACAAUAGUUGGCUUCCUUAAUUUUGCCAAGAAUAUAUUGUCUGAAAAUAAGAAAUAGAUGUGUCCAUGAACUAAGAGGAGCCAAGCAUGGUUAAAACCUUGAAAUCUUUGGAUUGGUUUAAUAUUUUAAUAUUUUAAAAUAUAUUCUAAAUAAAAUAAAUUUUUUUUUUUAAUUUAUAUUAACACAAUUGACUUGAGUUGGAUUUUUUUGGUUUCAUAUGUGGUUGUGUUAUUGGAAAUAUUUUUUUUUUUGUUCUUUACAACCAUAUUGGCGACAAUAAUCAUGGUUUUCUUUAAUUGAGGGUUGCAUUUUGACCUUUCAUUACUCAAUUGUGCUUUAAGGUACAGUGAAGAUUUUUCUUUCGCAUGAAUGUGGUGAAGAUUUGGAUGAAGUUGAUUUUUGUUGCCCCAGAGAAAAUAAGUUUGUUGAUCUUUUAAAUGAGAAAAUUUUGUUUAGUUGACUGUUUAGUUAAUAUGGUUAAGGAACAAGUUGUGGAUUUGACUACUCAGAUUGUAUAGAGUGUACUUUGUUGAUUUUGUAUUUUCAACAAAGCUCUUUGUUUUCCGUCAGAACUCUAUUUUUUAUUAUUGUAUUUGCUCUGUUUAGAAGGAAGCCUUGUGUUUUUGAGCUUUUGAGGAAUGAUUUUCGGCGUAGAUUGUAGUAUAUCAGUAAGUAAAAAAGGCAACGAUUGCUGGUAGUUACCCCAAAUGAUUAUCUUUAAGAUGUUUUUGGUGUUUUGUUUUUCAAUUUGAAAUUUAAUUUGAAUUUAAUAAAAAUAUUUAAUAUUCGAAAUUAAAUUGAAUUGAAGAAAAUAGAUUGGUUCGAACUGAACAUUACAUUUUUAAAACGAUUUUUAAUUUUUUAAUUUUUUUCCUGUCCUACUGGUUAGCUUUUCUAUAUUCUUUUACGAAGAAUGAUGAUGAAAUCCUCGUUACUAUCAGGAAAAGAGUUUUGACAUUAGUAAAAUAUCAAGAAUUGACUCUCUAAUGUAUAAAAAUGGAUUAUAUUUAAGAAAAGCAGAUGCAUCAGCAUAAGUAGUACUUAAUCAAAUUGCAGAAGGAAAUUAACUUUUGGCAAGUUCUGUGAAGGUUGCCUCUCUUAUUGUUGGUAAAUUUUACUAUUUUUCCAAUUGACAUUUGAAUGAAAUAGUCAUUAAUAUUACACUCUCCCAAACAUGAUCGAAACGUUAUAGAAAAAGUUUAUAACGAGAUGAGUAAUAUUUUUUUUAGUGUGUAAAUCAAACAUAGAACAAUUUUUUUUUAGAAUUAUCAGAUAUAAAGUUUAGUUUGUUAUUAUUGUUUAUUUUGCUCAGCUUAAUCACAUACUUUCAUGUGAUAAAAUAUAUUUAAUUUUAUCAUUUAUAUUAAUGGAAUAUAAAAUUUUUAAAUAAAAAUUUAAAAAAAUCAUAAAUUAAAUUUAUCUAUUUUUCAUAUAACAAAAUACAAAUAGAUGACUAAAACAAAAUUCAAGCUUAUUAAACUAUAAUAAUUGUCUAAUUAUAUAAAUGGAAAGUAACAAACAACUAUAUCUAAAGAUGCAAUUAAAAAGUAAAAUUAUUCGAUUUUUUAAAAAAAUAAUGGGAUAAGAUAUAUUUAAUUUUUUUAUUUAUAUUUUACAUUUGAAGGAAAAGAUAUUCGAUUGGGUUAAAUUAAUAUUCAGGUGUUUAUCUUUUACAUUCUUUAGAACAAAAAUAAUCUAUUUGUAUACUAUUGAAUUAUAUAAAAUAUGUCAAUAAAUUUGUUGGUAGAGCAAUGGAAUCUUAAUUUCUAAUUCAAUCAUUGACACUUUCACAUACAAAAAAAGAAAAGUUUAAUUAUAUUCUGAUGAUACUAAAAUAUGAGUUUUUAGGCAUCAACUAGAACAUGCCACACAUAAUUAUUUAGAAGUAUGAAUAUUAUACACUUACCAAUAUCAAAUCAAUUCUCAUUUUAAAUCUUAAUACUAGUUAACUUAUUUAAAAAUAAUUAAUUAAAUAAAAUUUUAAAAAAUUAAGAAAACUUAAAUCAUUUUCUCACAUUUUUAUCUAAAAAAAUUGGAUAUGGUUAGCACCCUAAAAUUUUUUGUUCGGGCAAAUCGUCAAUGUCAUUUUUUAUUUAUUAUUAAAAUAUUAAAAAGAUUUUAAUAUUAAUAAUUUAAUAUUUUUAAAUAUAUUUUAAAUUAAAUUAACAAAUAUUAUUUAAUUAAAACAUAAUAAGCAAUCGACCUUGAUUGAAACUUUAAAAAUUUUAUUCAAUAUUCGAUUAAGUGAAGACUAACAGCUAAUCUAAUGCACAGACAAAUCUAAUAACAAGAUAUCAUAGAAUCAUUUAUGCUAUUUUAUCGGACAAAGUUUUUACGGUGGCAAAUAAUAAAAACAAAGUAUUUCAUUGCAAUCGAAUAUAUUGCUCAAAAAAUUAAAAAAAAUAAAAGACCAUUCAUUUACUCCAAUGAUCAAGAUUUGUAGGACAAGAGAAAAACAAAUGUAUCAACAUCUAUCAGUUAUAAUUAAUUAAAUUGCAAAUUGAAGGAAACUUUGGCAAGUGAAGUCAAGGUCUUCUAUUUCUGUAUCUUUCUCAAUCUCAGUAGUUGUAAAUUCUACUAUAUAGUGACAAUUUUAUAUUUUUAGUAAUAAAAAUGCAUUUUGUUAGAUUAUAUUCUUCAAAAUGACACUUGAAAAUAUUAGUCAUUAAUAUCAUACUCCCUUAUUUUUCUAUAACGUGGUGAAAACGUUAUAGGAAAAUUAUGCAAUAAGACAAUUAGUAUUUUGCUUAGCGUGUAAAACCAAACAUAAGAUUUUAUUUUCUGCAAAACUAAAACUUUCUUCAUGCUAUAUGCUCAAUGCAGUUGCGUUAUUAGAAAUUUUUAAAUAUCUGAAUAUCUGCAUUUAAACCAAAUCAAAUAAGAAAAAAAUUGAUCCCAAUCAAAUAUUAUAUUUUUGAAUAGAUUUUUUAUUUAUUUUAUUUUUAUCUUAUUCUACAGUUUAGCUUUUUUAUAUUCUUUUAUGAGGAAUAAUGAUGAAAUCCUCAUGGCCAUGCUGAAAUGGUUCCUAUAUGGCUAUCAGGAGAAGGGUUUUGGCAUUGGCAAAAUAUCAAAAAUUGAAUCUCAAAGGUAUAAAGACGAACUAAAAUUGAGAAAAGUAAAUGCAUCAACAUCAGUGGUAAUUAAUUAAAUUGUAAAUUGAAGGAAAUUAAUUUUGGCAAGUCCUCUCAAUAUCAUCUUUCUCUCAUCAUUGAUAAAUUUUACUAUUUUUCAAAUUGACAUUUGAAUGAAUUAGUCAUUAACAUCAAUCUCUCUCGAACAUAGCUAAAACGUUAUAGAAAAAAUUUGCAAUAAAACAAGUAAUAUUUUCUUUAGCCUGUAAAAGCAAGCAGAGAAGAACUUAUUUUCCACAAAACUAGAACUUAUUUUCCACAAAACUAAAACCUUUGUUCACGCUAUGAACUAGACAAUAGAAACUCAUUGUCAAGCAAAUUUGAGUUAAUUUUUCCAAUUACUUUCAGGGCCAUCCAACAUCAUUAAAUGCAUGACCUAAAUUGCCAGUGAUGUUUUGACCCCAAACCCAAUUUCGGUGCGAAGAGGAGCUAGCUCAUAUUGGGUUUUUACUAAUUGGCUUCCAUUUUACUAUUUUAUUUUUUAAAAUUUUAUGCCAUUUAAUUUCUAAUUACCAACAUGAAUUAAAUUUAUUAUUUUUAAAACAUAAAAUAAUGCAUUGAAUGAAAAUAAAAAAUAACAAAAAUAAUAAAUUGAAUAGGUGAAAAUUUAUUUUAUUUUAAUUUUUAUAAAAUCCAAUAUUUUAUAUAUAUUGUUUUGGAUUUAUUAUUAUUCUUAUUCUUUUAAAAGUUUAUAUUUUAGAAUUAGUUUUUUGUUUUAUUAUUGCCUUUAUUAUGUUUUAUAAGUAUUAUUAAAAUUAAUUACCAUAUUAUUCAAUUUAAAAUUAUUUUUCAUAUAAUUUUUUACAAUUAAAACUAUGUAAUUUAGCACUAUGUUAUUGAUAGACAAAUCUAAACAUUUGGUAUUCAUAGUUUAAGAAUCUAUGUAUACAUAUACUAUAUGUAUUUCAUUUAAUUAACGUGAAUAUGAAGGCAAAGUCAAUGUCAAGAUCCCCCCAAACAAUAAAAUAUUUGGUAUUAUAUAAUCUCGUAGACUUAAAAAUAGUUAUGGACCGGAACUCACAAUAAAAGUUUUUUUUCUUUCCACGGAGAAUAAAAUGUAGCAGAAAGCCACAUGGAAAGUGUAGAAAGAAUUUUUUAUCCCACACUCCAUGAUUUUAUUACUCACACUUUGGAUUAAAGUAUUAAUUACAAAAUAACAAAAUGAAAACCCAAUAGCAGUUGGAGCCGCCAAUUUGUCCGAUUUGAUUAUAUUUAUUACUCUCUCUCUUUUUUUUUUUUUUUAUAAUGUCCUAAAAUUAUAUAUUUUCUUUUUAAACAUCUAAAACAUUUACUUUUUUAUAUUUUAAAAUUAUUGUUAAGAUUUUUUUAUUUUUUAAUAUUAAAAAUUAUGAAACUUUAAUUUUAUAAAAAAAAUUUAAAUUUUAAUAUCAAAUACAUUAAAGUCAAAAAAUUUUUUUAACUCUGUAAAAGUCAAUAAAUAACAAAUAUUUUGAGACAGAGGGAGUAUUAAAAUAUCAAAAUUAUAUUGAAAGCAAAAUAAAUUUUCUUUAAAACAAAAAAUAAAUUUGCAUAUAAAUUUAAAUAAAUAAUAUUUAAAAAAAAUAUAUUUUUUGAGAAAUAGUACAUAACAAUUUUAAGCAAAUUCAAUUUAAAAUACACACUUAAAAUUUUUAUCAUUUCAAAACAUCAACCAAUUUAAAGUUAACAUUAUUAAUUAAGGAUUGAAAUAUUUAAGUUAAUAAAUUAUCAAAGGCAUAUUUAUAUAUAUAUAUAUAUAUCCAUAUAUAUGUCGUUUACUGUAUAUUUGCAGUUUUAAAGUUUAUAGUUUUUAAUAUAGUAUAUGUAAAUAUAGAUAUAGUAAAAUCUUAUAAAGCAAAUAACAUUAACCCAAUGAAAGUACCUAAUAUAUUCAACACUUUCUCUUCCCUUAAAACUUCUUGAAAUGUAUCAAAAAAUGGAAUUAACAAAGUGGUCUUACAUUUUUCUUUUGGUGUUUAUCUAAGCCUAUAACGUUUGACUUACAAAAUCAAAGUAAUUUACUCACAUUUUAAGUAUUACUCCUAACAUUUGGGUGUUUGUCUUUUAUAUUCUUUAAAACGAAAAUAAUUUAAUUAUCCACUGUUGAAUUAUAUAAAAUAUGUCAAUAAAUCUAUUGGUAGAGCAAUGAAAUCUUAAUUUCUAAUUUAAUCAUGGACACCUUCAAAUAAAAAAAAAAGUUUAAACUGAUGAUCCUAAAAAUUGAGUUUUUAGGCAUCAACUAGAAACAUGCCACACAUAAUUAUUUAGAAGCUUUUUAUGAAUAUUAUAAACUUACCAACAUCAAACCAAUUCUAAUUUUAAACCUUAAUGCUAGUUAACUUAUUUAAAAAUAAUUAAUGAAAUAAAAUUAAAAAGAAAUUAGGAAAACUUAAAUUGUUUUCUCACAUUUUCAUCGAAAAAAAUCGAACAUGGUUAGCACCUUAAAACUUAUGUUCAAACAAAUCAUCAAUUUCAUUUUUUAUUUAUUAUUAAAAUAUUAAAAGAUUUUAAUAUUAAUAAUGUAAUAUUUUUAAAUAUAUUUUAAAAUAAAUUAACAAAUAUUAUUUAAUUAAAACAUAAUAAGCAAUCAACCUUGAUAGAAACUUUAAAAAUUUUAUUCAAUAUUCAAUUAAAUAGAGAUUAGUAGAUGAUCUGAUAUAUAGACAAGUCUAAUAACUAGGUAUCAUAGAAUCAUUUACGCUAUUUUAUAAGACAAUGUCUUUACGGUGACAAAUAAUAAAAACAAAUUAUUUCAUUACAAUCAAAUACAUUGCUCAAAAAAAAAAAAAGACCAUUCAUUUACUCCAAUGAUCAAGAUUUGUAGGACAAGAGAAAAGUAAAUGCAUCAGCAUCUAUCAAUUGUAAUUAAAUUGCAAAUUGAAGGAAACUUUGGCAAGCGAAGUCAAGGCCUUCUAUUUCUCUUUCUUUCUCAGUCUCAUUAGUUGUAAAUUCUACUAUAUAUUGACAAUUUUAUAUUUUUAGUGAUAAAAAUGCAUUUUGUUAGAAUAUAUUCUUAGAAAUGACACUUGGAAAAACUAGUCCUUAACAUCACACUUCCCUAUUUUUCUAUAACGUGAGAGAAAAAUUAUACAAUGAGACAAUUAGUAUUUUGUUUAGCGUGUAAAACCAAGCAUAAGACCUUAUUUUCCACAAAACUAAAACUUUCUUCAUGCUACAUACUCAAUGUAGUUGUGUUAUUAGAAAUUUUUAAAAUAUCUGAAUAUCCAAAUUUAAACUAAAUCAAUAAGAAAAAAAUUGAUUCUAAUCCAAUAUUAUAUUUUUGAAUCAAUUUUUUAUUUUUUAAUUUUUAUCUCAUCCUACAAGUUGGCUUCUUUCUGUUCUUUUAUGAGGAAUGAUGAUGAAAUCCUCAUGGCUAUGCUGAAAUGGUUCCUAUAUGGCUAUCAGGAGAAAAGUUUUGGCAUUGGCAAAAUAUCAGGAAUUAAAUCUCAAAGGAAUAAAGACGGAUUACAUUUGAGAAAAGCAAAUGCAUCAACAUCAGUCGUAAUUAAUUAAAUUGUAAAUUGAAGGAAAUUAUCUUUGGCAAGGUCCUGUCAAGAUCGUCUUUCUCUCAUCGUUGAUAAAUUUCACUAUUUUUCGAAUUGACAUUUGAAUGAACUAAUGAUUAACAUCACUCUCUCUCUCGAACAUAGCCGAAACGUUAUAGAAAAAAUUUGCAAUAAAACAAGUAAUAUUUUCUUUAGCGUGCAAAAACAAGCAGAGAAGAACUUAUUUUCCACAAAACUAAAACCAUUGUUCACGCUACAAACUAGAUAAUAGAAACUCAUUGUCAAGCAAAUUUGAGUUAAUUUCACCAAUUACUUUCUAUAAGGGCCACCCAACAUCAUUAAAUGCAUGACUUGAAUUGCAUGUUUUGACCCCAAACCCAAUUUCGGUGCGGAAAGGAGCUAGCUCAUCAUCGAAUUGGGCUUUUACUAAUUGGCUUCCAUUUUACUAUUUUAUUUUUUAAAAUUUUAUGCUAUUUAAUUUCUGAUUACCAACAUGAAUUAAAUUUAUUAUUUUUAAAACAUAAAAUAAUGCAUUGAAUAAAAAUAAAAAAAUAACGAAAAUAAUAAAUUGAAUAGUGAAAAUUUAUUUUAUUUCAAUUUUUUUUAAAUUCAAUAUUUUAUAUUUAUUGUUUUGGAUUUAUUAUUAUUCUUAUUCUUUUAAAAAUUUAUAUUUUAGAAUUAGUAUUUUUUUUAUUGUUGCUGUUAUUAUGUUUUAUAAGUAUUAUUAAAGUUAAUUACCAUAUUAUUCACUUUAAAAUUAUUUUUCAUAAAUAACUUUUUAAAAAAAUGUCCCAUGCAACAUGAGGGCAUCAUUCUAGUGAUAUAUUAAAGUUUAAAUUCUUUUCCUUAAUUAAUAUCUCAAUUAAUUUUUUACAAUUAAAAUUUUAUAAUUUAUCACUAUGUUAUUGAUAGACAAAUCCAAACUUUUGGUAUUCAUAGUUUAAGAAUUUAUAUAUACAUAUAUAUUCCAUUUAAUUAACGGGGAUAUGAAGGUAAUGUCAAUGUCAAUAUUCCCUCAACCAAUGAAAUAUUUGAUGUUAUAUAGUCUCGUAGACUUAAAAUUAGACAUCGACUGGAACUCGCAAUAAAAGUUUCUUCUUUCUAUGAAGAAAUAGAAUGUAGCAAGAAGCUACAUGGAAAGGGUGGAAAGAAUUUUUUAACCUAAACUCCACGAUCUUAUGUAAAGUCACACUUUGAGCUAAAGUAUUAAUUACAAAAUAAAAAAAUGAAAACCCAAGCAGCAGUUGGAGCCCUAGCCAAUUUGUCCGUUUUGAUUAUAUUUAUUACUUCCUUUGUCUAUUGUUUUUUAUUCAUCUUUUCCUUUUUGGAAUGUUCUAAAAUUAUGUUUUAUUUUAUUUUUUGAACAUCUAAAACACUUACUUUUUAUAUUUUAAAAUUAUUUUUUAUUUUUUAUUUUACUUUUUGAUAUUAAACAUCAUGAAACUUUAAUUUUAUAAAAUAAUUUAAAUUUCAAUAUUAAAUACAUUAAAAUCAAAACUUAUUUCUUAAACUCCAUAAAAGUCAAUAGAUAACAAACAUUUUGGGACGAAGGAAGUAUUAAAUAUCAAAUUAUAUUGAAAGCAAAAUAAAUUUUCUUUAAAACAAAAAAUAAAUUUGCACUAAUAUUCAAGUAAAUAAUCUUUAAAAGAAUAUAUAGAUAUUUUUUGAGAAAUUGUAAAUAACAAUUUUAAGCAAAUUCGAUUUAAAAUACAUACUUAAAAUUUUUAUCAUUUCAAAACAUCAACCAAUUUAAGGCUAACAUUAUUAAUUAAGGAAGAAAUAUUUAAGUUAAUGAACUAUCAAAGGCGCGCACACACACACACACACACAUAUAUAUAUCGUUUGCUAUAUAUUGGCACUUUUAAAGUUUAUAAUUUUUAAUAUAGUAUAGAUAAAUAUAGAAUACUAAAAUCUUAUAAAGCAAAUACCAUUAACCCAAUGAAAGUACCUAAUAUAUUCAAGAUUCUCUCUCCCCUUCAAACUUCUAGAAAUGUAUAAAAAAUGGAAUUAACAAAGUGGUCUUACAUUUUUCUUUUGGUGUUUAUGCAAGCCUAUAGCAUUUGACUUACAAAAUCUAAGUAAUUUACUCUCAUUUUAGGUAUUACUCUUAAUAUUUUCUUUCUAAAAUUUAAAUUUGAGACUUUCAAGUUAAAUAUGUUGUGCUUGAGUCAGUAUCUUAUAUAUUAUGAAUAUGAUCAUAUAUAUUGGAUGCAAUGUUGUAAGGUGAAUAGGACAAUACCACCUCAUUAAUGAAUAAAUUUUUAAAAAUAUAUAUUAAUUUUUGUAUAUUUUAUUUUAUGAACUGAUAUUUAUUCAUUAAUAAAUUGACAUCAUCUUAUUCAGUUACAAUAGAAUCUAUAUACUAAUGCAUUAAAUAUAAACCCAAAAUGAAAUUACAUAUAGUAAAAUAAAAGAAUUUGUAUAGUAAAAUAAAAGAAUUUGAUGAAACCAACAAAAACAUAAAAGUAAAAUUGUAAACUUUUAUUAUGGUAGAACUUAUAAUAUCAUUAUUCAUUUCUGAACCAAAUUUUUUAAUACGUUAAAAGCUCGAAUUUAUAAAGAAAUAUGAAAAGAAAAAAAAAACUCUUAGUUGACAAAUCAAAAUAUUUUGUGUUCAUAUCUUAAGAAUCUAAGUAUACAAAUAUAUAUAUAUAUAGAUAUAUAUUCCAACUGAUUAUAGUGGAUAUGAAGGCAAUGUCAAUUUCAAGGUUGACGCCAUUGUCAAUAUUUGAUGUUAUAGUCUUUUAGACUUAAAAAAAAAAAAAAAAAAGAAAAGUAGAUAUAUUGACCGGAACUUGCAAUAAGAUUUUCUUCUUUCCAUGAAGAAAUAGUAUGUACCAGGAAUCUACAUGGAACAUUAAGUGUGGAAAGAAUUUUUUUUCUCUCAUUGAUUUUUCUUUUUAUCAAAUUAACUCAACUUUAACCAUUAAUUUUGAAAAUAUAAUGUAAUAAUAAAUUUUCAAAAAUAUAUAAUUUGAAAACUUUGGAAUUCAAAAUGUCAAGUCUUAGUUUUUAAAAAUAUAUAGCAUUAUAAUCUUUUGAAAAAUAAUAGUUAAAGUUAAGUUCAUUUAAUAAAAAAAGUCACUAAAAACAAAUUAAUUGAAAUGGAUAGAACAUUAAACACCGAAACAAAUUUGACGUUGUACUAUGGAUUAAUAUUUAAUUUUUUCCUUAAAAUUUAAUUCGUUGAAUUUUGUCACAAUACUUUUAAUUUAGGUAAUUUUUUAACAAAAAUGAAGAAAUUGAAAUAAUUCACUAAAUAAUUUAUUUAUGCAAACGACAAAUCUGCUCAAUGCACUGUCAAUUAAUGUUGAUUUUGAAUAUAUCAGUAUGAAAAUGACAAACUUUCAUUAAUUUCAUCCCUUAUAUUCAAAAGUCAUUUUUUAGAGAUGGCUAUUAUUGGGUAACUCCUUGAUUGGCUAUAUAUAUUAAGCUCCAUGCAAGGCUUAUUGUUAUAUAUUUAAUUUUAUCAUUUAUAGUAAUGGAAUAUAAAAUUUUUAAAUAAAAAUUAAAAAAAUCAUAAAUUAAAUUUUAUCUAUUUUUCAUAUAACAAAAUACAAAUAAAUGACUAAAAAAAAUUCAAGCGUAUUAAACUAUAAUAAUUUUCUAAUUAUGUAAAUGGAAAGUAACAAACAACUACAUCGAAAGAUAAAAUUCAAAAAUAAAAUUAUUCAAUUUUUUUGAAAAAAUAAUAGGAUAAGAUAUAUUUAAUUUUUUUAUUUAUAUUUUAGAUUUGAAGGAAAAGAUAUUCGAUUGGGUUAAAUUAAUAUUCAAGUGUUUAUCUUUUAUAUUCUUUAAAACAAAAAUAAUCUAUUUCUAUACUAUUGAAUUACGUAAAAUAUGUCCAUAAAUUUGUUGGCAGAGCAAUGAAAUCUUAAUUUCUAAUUCAAUCAUUGACACUUUCAAAUACACAAAAAAAAAAAAAAAGUUUAAUUAUAUUCAGAUGACACUAAAAAAUGAGAUUCCAGGCAUCAACUAGAACAUGCCACACAUAAUUAUUUAGAAGUAUGACUAUUAUAUACUUACCAACAUCAAAUCAAUUCUCAUUUUAAAUCUUAAUACUAGUUAACUUAUUUUAAAAUAAUUAAUUAAAUAAAAUUUUAAAAAAUUAGGAAAACUUAAAUCGUGUUCUCACAUUUUUAUCUAAAAAAAUUGGAUAUGGCUAGCAUCUUAAAAUUUUAUGUUUGGGCAAAUCGUCAAUGUAAUUUUUUAUUUAUUAUUAAAAUAUUAAAAAGAUUUUAAUAUUAAUAAUUUAAUAUUUUUAAAUAUAUUUUAAAUUAUAUUAACAAAUAUUAUUUAAUUAAAACAUAAUAAGCAAUCAACCUUGAUAGAAACUUUAAAAAUUUUAUUCAAUAUUUGAUUAAGUGGAGACUAACAAAUAGUAUGAUGCAUAGACAAAUCUAAUAACAAGAUAUCAUAGAAUCAUUUAUGCUAUUUUAUUGGACAAUGUCUUUACGGUGGCAAAUAAUAAAAACAAAGUAUUUCAUUGCAAUUGAAUAUAUUGCUCAAAAAAAAAAAAAGACCAUUCAUUUACUCCAAUGAUCAAGAUUUGUAGGACAAGAGAAAAGCAAAUGCAUCAACAUCUAUCAGUUAUAAUUAAUUAAAUUGCAAAUUGAAGGAAACUUUGGCAAGCGAAGUCAAGCUCUUCUAUUUCUCUAUCUUUCUCAAUCUCAUUAGUUGUAAAUUCUACUCUAUAGUGACAAUUUUAUACUUUUAGUGAUAAAAAUGCAUUUUGUUAGAAUAUAUUCUUCAAAAUGACACUUGAAAAAAAUUAGUCAUUAACAUCAUACUCUCCCUUAUUUUUCUAUAACGUGGUGGAAACGUUAUAGAAAAAUUAUGCAAUAAGACAAUUAGUAUUUUGCUUAGCGUGUAAAACCAAACAUAAGACCUUAUUUUCCACAAAACUAAAAUUUUCUUCACGCUAUAUAUUCAAUGUAGUUGUGUUAUUAGAAAUUUUUAAAUAUCCGAAUUUAAACCAAAUCAAAUAAGAAAAAAAUCGAUCCUAAUCAAAUAUUAUAUUUUAAAAUCAAUUUUUUAUUUUUUAAUUUUUAUCCUAUUCUAUAUGUUAGCUUCUUUAUAUUCUUUUAUGAGGAAUAAUGAUGAAAUUCCCAUGGCUAUGCUGAAAUGGUUCCUAUAUGGCUAUCAGGAGAAGAGUUUUGGCAUUGGCAAAAUAUCAAGCAUUGAAUCUCAAAGGUAUAAAGACGGACUACAUUUGAAAAAAGCAAAUGCAUCAACAUAAGUAGUAAUUAAUUAAAUUGUAAAUUGAAGGAAAUUAACUUUGGCAAGUCCUGUCAAGAUUGUCUCUCUCUCAUCGUUGAUAAAUUUCACUAUUUUUCGAAUUGACAUUUGAAUGAAUUAGUCAUUAACAUCACUCUUUCUCUAGAACAUAGCUAAAACGUUAUAGAAAAAAUUUACAAUAAAACAAGUAAUAUUUUCUUUAGCGUGUAAAAGCAAGCAGAGAAGAACUUAUUUUCCGCAAAACUAGAGCUUAUUUUUCACAAAACUAAAACCUUUGUUCACGCUGCAAACUAGACAAUAGAAACUCAUUGUCCAGCAAAUUUGAGUUAAUUUUUUCAAUUACUUUCUAUCAGGGGCACCCAACAUCAUUAAAUGCAUGACCUAAAUUGCCGGUGAUUUUUUGACCCCAAACCCAAUUUGAAUUGUAAUUAAUUAAAUUGUAAUUAAUUAAAUAGUAAAUUGAAGGAAACUUUGGCAAAUGCAUCUCUGUCUUAUUGAUCUCAUCAGUUGUAAAUUUUACUACAUAGUGAUAAUUUUAUAUUUUUAAUAACAAUUUUUACCUUCACUGAAAAUGUAAUUUACUAGAAUAUAUUCUUCGAAAUGACACUUGAAAGAACUAACCAUUAACAUCACACUAUCUUGAACGUGUUCGAAAUGUUAUAAAAAAAUUAUGCAAUGAGACAAUUAGUAUUUUACUUAACGUGUAGAACCAAACAAAAUACCUUAAUUUCCACAAAACCAAAACUUUCUUCACGCUACAAAGUCAAAGUAGAAACUCUCAAACAUCAUUAAGUGCAUGAAUUGAAGUGGCUGUGCUGUUUUGACCCAAACGCGUUUCCAAUGCAAAUAUAAUACUAACAUUGCACUUGACUAAAUUGCAAUUUAAAGGAAAUUAAUAUUGGCAAAUCCCGUCAAAGUUGUCUUUUUCUCGUCUUGAUAAAUUUCAUUAUUCUUCGAAUUAAUAUUUGAAUGAAUUGGUCAUUAAUAUCACACUCUUCCAAACGUAGCCAAAACGUUAUAAACAAAGUCUACAACAAAAAAAGAAAUAGUUUCCUUAGCGUGUAAAACAAAGCAGAAGAACUUAUUUUCCACAAAAUUAAAAACUUUGUUGACUCUACAAACUAGAAAGUAGAAACUCAUUGUCAAGCAAAUUGGAGUUAAUUUCACCAAUUACUUUCUAUUUGGACCACCCAACAUCAUUAAAUGCAUGACCUGAAUUGCCAACGACGUUUUUGACCCCAAACACAAUUUCGUUUUGACCCCAAAUGCGGUUAUUACUUGUGUUUGAAUUGGAUUUUUCAUGUAUAAAAAGCUAGAUGCAAGAAUGCAUUUGAGAAAUAUGAAGAUUUUGAACAACUUUGGAAAAAAUAAAUGGAAUUGUAGACACCCAAUCAGGUCCGGGCCCGAAUCAAUUGGGCCUGACCCGGAUCAAUUGGGCCUGACCCAGAUCAUUUGGGCCUGGCCCAAAUGGGCAAGGCCCAAUUGAAUUUUUACCCCGUAUUUUUUAUUUUUAUUUAUUUAUAUUUUUUUUUCUCUUGUGUAUUUUAUUAUUUAUUAUUAUGUAUUAAUAUAUGUAUAUAUAUAUAUAUAUAUUCUUUUUUUUUUUUUCAUUAGAAUAGAUUUAUAUGUAUAUAGUUAUAUAUUUAUUAUAUUAUUAUUCUUAUCUUUUUUUUUUAAAUUAUCUGUUCUGAUUUUUUCUGAUUUUCAGAUAUUAUUUGAAAAUUUUUUUUUUUUUUAUCUUUUGAUUUAUCUUUCCAAUUAUCUAGAUUUUUUUUUUUUAAUUUUUAUUUUGGAGGGCUAGGAUUCAAAGUUGAAGACUCCCACUCUGGAGGGGAAUUCAAUCAGAAGAGUCCAAUUGGAUUCAAAGACUGAAUUCCCGUCCAAAGAGGAAUUGGGAUUGAUCAGAAACUCCUGAUCAAUCCCUAUAAAAGGGACCCCCUGGAACAAUCAAGAACACACAGAAAACAGUAAGCUAGAGCUACUGAUUUGAGAAGCAAAGGCGUAGGGAAGAGUAUAGAAGGCUAGGAAAAGGUUUAGGAGAGUUCCAAAAAUUAUCAGAAAUUUUUUGGGGAUUUUUUUCGAAAUUUUUUUCUGGGAAUUUCUGGAAAAUUCCAGUUUCCGGUUGAAUUUUCCGGCCAACCUUGAAGUUUCCGGCGAAAAUUCCGGCCAACAUUGAAGUUUCCGGCGACCUGCCCAGUUUCCGGCGAAGAAUCCCAGAAACCGGCGAGUUUCCGGCCAACUUCCGGCGAAAAACCCAGAUUCCGGCGAAAAUUUCCAGAAUCCGGUGAAUCUUCAACCGGAGUUCUUCGGUUUUUUAGAGAGAAGGGAGAGAAAAGGGAAGGAAGAGAGAGAGGGGAGAGGAGCGUUCUGCCGAAAAACAAAGGGGAUUGCCUUUUAUACCCUCCCAAAACGACGUCGUUUUGGCUUUAAGUUAAUCAGAGGAUCCGCGCGUUUUGCCGAAAACCCGACCCGACCCGGGCGUCGACCCGCUUUUCUGACCCGCGCGUGCCAACCCCUCCGAGCCGAGCCGAGCCGAGCCGUUCUUCCCGAGCCGCUUCUCCGAGCCGUUUUCUCUUCCUUGAGCCGAGCCGAGCCGAGCCGCAACCCGAGCCGCUCCAGGUUUUUUUUUUUUUUUUUUUUUUUUUUUUGAAUUUUUUCUUUAUUUGACUUUGAUUUUGAUCUUGAUUUUUUUUUUCUUUUUUCUUUAAUUAAUCCGACGACGGAGCCUCUACAAGUGAAACAGUAGUUUUUCUUGCAUACUCCUGAGGUGAGGGAAUUUUUUCAAUUUUCUGCUAAAAGUAUUAGAGUCAAUUGAGAAUAAUUUUCGAUAAUUAAUUAAUUGGUUGAUCUUGAUUUUUCUUUAAAUAAUCCGACGAUGGAGCCUCUGCAAGUGAAACAGUAGUUUUUCUUGCAUACUCCUGAGGUGAGGGAAUUUUCUCAAUUUUCUGCUAAAAGUAUUAGAGUCAAUUGAGAAUAAUUUUCAACAAUUAACUACUUGGUAAAAUUUUAAGGCUUUUGGAUAACACAAAUUCAAGCUGGUACCAUCUUUUGAUGGGCGUUGUGAGGGUGCUAUAACCUUCCUCACACGUAACCGAACUCCCGAACCCUGUUCUGGUUAGCAGACCUGAACCUAUUCUUUAAGGGACCCUCAAGCUUAGGUGUUCCCUGAAAGGACAGAUUCCUUAGGUGGCCAAUCGCACCUAGAUAAAAAAGAUUGGUGGCGACUCCCUAAAGUCAAUGUCUAGCGAUAGAUCCCCGGAUCUAGACGUUAUGACAGGAAUGAAUCCUUUUUUAUCAGAUUAUUUAAUUAUAGUAUGAAAAAGUUAGUUGGUUGCCAAUAAAUUUAAGAUCCAAGGGCACUAUACAAUUGGCCAAUUCAAUGUCUUUAUAUGUUGUGCCUUUCAAAUUAAACAUAGUAAUAAUUUGUUAAUAAGGAAAAUAAUUAUUGAAUAUAAACAUCCUAAUCAUGCUGUUUGCAAGGGACAAGUAACUAUAGAGAUUUAUAUAUAUAAAUUACAAUUAUGUGUUAUUAAUGUGUUAUGAAGAGAAUUUAUACAUUAUAUUAACGCUUCAAUUGGUUUCCAUUUUACUAUUUUAUCUUUUAAAAUUUUACGCUUGUUAAUUUCUAACUACCAACAUGAAUUAAAUUUAUUAUCUUUAAAAAAUAAAAUAAUGUAGCAUGAGGUUUUACCCAAUAAAAGUUUCCUUUUUCCAUGAAGAAAUAGGAUGCAGCAGAAACCCACAUAGAUAAUGGUGAAAAGAGUUUUUAACCCAAAGUUCACUAUUUCAUGCACAAAUCACACUUUUGGCUAAUUACAAAAUGACAAAAUGAAAACCCAAGCAUUAGCGAGAGCUCAAGCAAUUUUGUCCGUUUUUAUUAAAUUUAUUAUCAAAAUUAUAUUGAAUCCCAAAUAAAUUUUCUUUAAAACAAUAAUUAAAAUAUUUUGUAUUCAUAUUUUAAGAAUCUAAGUAUACAAAUAUAUAUUCCAAUUAAAUAAAGUGGAUACGAAGUCAAUGUCAAUUUCAAGGUUGACGCCAUUGUCAAUAUUUAAUGUUAUAGUCUUUUAGACUUAAAAAAAAUUGAAAAAGUGGACAUAUUGACCGGAACUUACAAUAAGAUUUUCUUCUUUCCACGAAGAAAUAGUAUGUACCGGGAAGCUACAUGGAACAUUAAGUGUGGAAAUAAUUUUUUCUUUCAUUGAUUUUUCUUUUUAUCAAAUUAACUCAACUUUAACCAUUAAUUUUGAAACUAUAAUGUAAUAAUAAAUUUUCAAAAAUAUAUAAUUUGAAAACUUUGGAAUUCAAAAUUUCAAGUCUUAGUUUUGAAUAAAAAAACGAUAUUGAAAUAUUUAACGAAAUAUUCUAUCAGCAUGAAAAUAAUCUAUUUAUAUACUGUUGAAUUAUAUAAAAUAUGUCAAUAAAUCUAUUGGUAGAGCAAUGAAAUCUUAAUUUCUAAUUUAAUCAUGGACACCUUCAAAUAAAAAAAAAUGUAAAUUAUAUUAGGAUGAUCCUAAAAAUUAAGUUUUUAGGCAUCAACUAGAAACAUGCCACACAUAAUUAUAUAGAAGCUUUUGAUGAAUAUUGUACACUCACCAACAUCAAACCAAUUCUCAUUUUAAAUCUUAAUACAAGUUAACUUAUUUAAAAAAAUUAAUGAAAUAAAAUUAAAAAGAAAUUAGGAAAACUUAAAUCGUUUUCACAUUUUCAUCUAAAAAAAUCGAACAUGGUUAGCAUCUUAAAGUCUUAUGUCCAAACAAAUCAUCAAUUUCAUUUUUUAUUUAUUAUUAAAUUAUUAAAAGAUUUUAAUAUUAAUAAUUUAAUAUUUUAAAUAUAUUUUAAAUUAAAUUAACAAAUAUUAUUUAAUUAAAACAUAAUAAGCUAUCAACCUUGAUAGAAACUUUAAAAAUUUUAUUCUAUAUUCGAUUAAGUGGAGACUAACGGACAGUCAGAUGAAUAGACAAGUCCAAUAACAAGGUAUCAUAGAAUCAUCUAUGGUAUUUUAUAUAGACAAUGUCCAAUUUACAGUGGCAAAUAAUAAAAACAAAUUAUUUCAUUGCAAUAGAAUAUAUUGCUUAAAAAAAAAAAAACAAGACCAUUCAUUUACUCCAAUGAUCAAGAUUUGUCAGACAAGAGAAAAGCAAAUGUACUAGCGUCUAUCAGUUGUAAUUAAUUAAAUUGCAAAUUGAAGGAAACUUUGUCAAGUGAAGUCGAGGUCUUCUAUUUCUCUAUCUUUCUCAAUCUCAUUAGUUGUAAAUUCUACUAUAUAGUGACAAUUUUAUAUUUUUAGUGAUAAAAAUGGAUUUUGUUAGAAUAUAUUUUUUGAAAUGACACUUACAAAAACUAGUCAUUAAUGUCACACUCCCUUAUUUUUCUAUAACGAAUUGGAAACGUUAUAGAAAAAUUAUGCAAUGAGACAAUUAGUAUUUUGCUUAGCGUUUAAAACCAAGCAUAAGACCUUAUUUUCCACAAAACUAAAACUUUCUUCACGCUACAUACUAAAUGUAGUUGUGUUAUUACAAAUUUUUAAAUAUUUGAAUAACCAAAUUUAAACCAAAUCAAAUAAGAAACAAAUCAAUCCUAAUCAAAUAUUUAUUUUUGAAUUGAUUUUUUAUUUUUUAAUUUUUAUCUCAUCCUACAGAUUAGCUUCUUUAUAUUCCUUUAUGAGGAAUGAUAAUGAAAUCUUCAUGGCAAUGAUGAUGAAAUCUUCAUGGCAAUGCUGAAAUGGUUCCUAUAUGGCUAUCAGGAGAAGAGUUUUGGCAUUGGCAAAAUAUCAAGAAUUGAAUAUCAAAGGUAUAAAGACGGACUACAUUUGAAAAAAACAAAUGCAUCAACAUCAGUAGUAAUUAAUUAAAUUGUAAAUUGAAGGAAAUUAACUUUGGUAAGUCUUGUCAAGAUCGUCUUUCUCUCAUCGAUGAUAAAUUUUCACUAUUUUUCAAAUUGAGAUUUGAAUAAAUUAGUCAUUAACAUCACUCUCUCUCGAUCGUAGCCGAAACGUUAUAGAAAAAUUUGCAAUAAAACAAGUAAUAUUUUUUUAGCGUGUAAUGCAAGCAGAGAAGAACUUAUUUUCCACAAAACCAGAACUUAUUUUCCACAAAACUAAAACCUUUGUUCAUGCUACAAACUAGAAAAUAGAAACUUAUUGUCAAGCAAAUUUGAGUUAAUUUUUCCAAUUACUUUCUAUCAGGGCCACACAACAUCAUUAAAUGCAUGACCUGAAUUGCCAGUGACGUUUUGACCCCAAACCCAAUUUCAGUGCGAAAAGGAGGUAGCUCAUCAACCGAACUCGGUUUUUACUAAUUGGCUUCCAUUUUACGAUUUUAUUUUUUAAAAUUUUAUGCCAUUUAAUUUCUAAUUACCAACAUGUAUUAAUUUAUUAUUUUAAAAAAUAAAAUAAUGCAUAGAAUAAAAAUAAAAAAUAAAAAAAUAAUAAAUUGAAUAAGUGAAAAUUUAUUUUAUUUUAAAUUUUUUAAAAUUCAAUCUUUUAUAUUUAUUGUUUUGGAUUUAUUAUUAUUCUUAUUCUUUUAAAAGUUUAUAUUUUAGAAUUAGUAUUUUGUUUUUAUUAUUGCCUUUAUUAUGUUUUAUAAGUAUUAUUAAAAUUAAUUACCAUAUUAUUCAAUUUAAAAUUAUUUUUCAUAGAUAACUUUUUAAAAAAAUGUACCAUGCAACAUAAGGGCAUCAUUCUAGUGAUAUACUAAAGUAUAAAUUUUUGUCCUUAAUUAAUAGCUCAUAUAAUUUUUUAGAAUUAAAAUUAUGUAGUUUAGCACUAUGUUAUUGAUAGACAAAUCUAAACAUUUGGUAUUCAUAGUUUAAGAAUCUAUGUAUACAUAUAUAUAUAUAUAUAUAUAUAUAUAUAUAUGAAUUUCAUUUAAUUAACGUGAAUAUGAAGGCAAUGUCAAUAUCAAGAUCCCCUCAAACAAUGAAACAAUGAUGAAAUAUUGACCGGAACUCACAAUAAAAGUUUUUUUUCUUUCCACGGGGAAUAAAAUGUAGCAGGAAGCCACAUGGAAAGUGUGGAAAGAAUUUUUUAACCCACACUCCACGAUUUUAUGACUCAUACUUUGGACUAAAGUAUUAAUUACAAAAUGACAAAAUGAAAACCCAAGUAGCAGUUGGAGCCGCCAAUUUGUCCGUUUUGAUUAUAUUUAUUAUUCACCCUGUCUCAUUUUUUUAUUUUUUAUUUUUUUAGAAUGCCCUAAAUUUAUAUCUUUUCUUUUUUACCAUCUAAAACAGUUACUUUUUAUAUUUUAAAAUUAUUUUUAUGAUUGUUUUAUUUUUUAAUAUUCAAAAUCAUGAAACUUUAAUUUUAUAAAAAGAAUUUAAAUUUUAAUAUUAAAUACAUUAAAGUCAACUUUUUUCUUAAAUUCCAUAAAAGUCAAUAAAUGACAAAUAUUUUGGAAUGGAAGGAGUAUUAAAAUAUCAAAAUUAUAUUGAAAGCAAAAUAGAUUUUCUUUAAAAACAAAAAAUAAAUUUGCAUUUAAAUUCAAAUAAAUAAUUUUUAAAAAUAUAUAUUUUUUGAGAAAUAUUACAUAACAAUUUUAAGCAAAUUCAAUUUAAAAUACACAGUUAAAAUUUUUAUCAUUUCAAAACAUCGACCAAUUUAAAGUUAACAUUAUUGAUUAAGGAUGAAAUAUUUAAGUUAAUAAAUUAUCAAAGGCAUAUACAUUUAUAUAUUUAUAUAAAUAAAUAUAAAUAAAGUAUAAUUUUUUUUCCUUAAUUAAUAGCUCAUAUAAUUUUUACAAUUAAAAUUAUGUAAUUUAGCACUAUGUUAUUAAUAGACAAAUCUAAACAUUAGGUAUUCAUUGUUUAAGAAAAUAUGCAGACACACAUAUCCCAUUUAAUUAACGUGAAUAUGAAGGCAAUGUCAAUAUCAAGAUCCUUUCAAAUAAUGAAAUAUUUGAUGUUAUAUAGUCUAAUAGACUUAAAAGUGGAAAUUUUCUGGAACUUACAAAUAAAAGUGGUGGACCCAUAUAUAAUUUUUUAAUGUAAUUAAAUAAUUAUAAUAUUGUAACAAAAAAUUUAUAGGUGAAAUGUUCCCAAACUGAUUUACUUAUUUCAAUUAAAUUUGUUAUUAAAAUGUUAAAAAUAUUUUAUAUUAAUAUUAUAAAAUUAAAUUUUAAUUAAAAUAUAUUAUUUAUUAAUAUAAUAAAAUUCUCAAGUUGAACGCAUGCCCAAAAAAUCAUAUUUAGGACUGGAUCCAAGUUUUUUGAUCAAAUAGCCUAAAAAGUAGUUGGGUUUAGCAAGUACUCUAGCUAUUUAGCAAGUACUCUAGCUAUAACAACUAAGAGAACGAUUGUGAAAUGAAGAUUUUUUUUAUCAAGAUUGAUCAUUAGUUAAAAAAAAUAAUGAUCAAAACAAUUAAAUAAUAAAAAAAAUAAUGAUCAAAACAAUUAUUGAGACAAAACAUCAUUUAUAUAUAGCACCACCGAUGACCGAAGACAAAGAAAGAGACUAACACUCUUUUUGGUAAGAAGGAAAAGACGAGGGAAAAAAGUUCUAAUUUUUUUUUUACUUUCCCUCUUCUUUCUUUCUUACAACAGAGGAUCGAGGACCACCUUGAUUUUCUAUAUAUAUUAAGCUUGAUGCAAGGCUUAUCGUUAUAUAUUUACAAGUAGCAAUUGAGAGAGAAUUGAAAAUAUAGAGAUCAUAUAUAAAGAAAAAGAGAUGAUGGAACCCAAAUGGUUGUGGUUGAGUGUGUUGUUGCUGUUGUUAGAAGGAUGCAGAUGGUAUGGUACUGAUGCGUGUUGGGAGGAUGAGAGGAUUGCUCUCUUGCAACUCAAACCUUUCUUCAAUCCUUACAACGAUCUGAACAGCUGGGUUGAUGAGAUCAAGGGUUCAGAUUGCUGUCAAUGGGAUGGGGUCGAGUGCAACACCUCUUCCUCCUCUUCCAAGCGAGUCAUAGGACUCUCUCUUGAUUAUACAAGACUGUCCAACAACGAAAGAUGGUAUCUUAAUGCCUCUUUGUUUCUUCCUUUCAAGGAACUGAAGCAUCUUUAUUUGAGAGGGAAUAACAUCGCUGGUUUUGUUGAAAGUGAAGGUCCCUUUUGCCUUUUCAUCUUUAAUUAUUUCAUUGUUAAUUUGCAAUUUGAAAAUUCAUUCAUAACUUAUUCAUUUUUACAAUUUCAUAUUUAAUUCUAUUUUUGCUUUAUUGAUGAAAAGCCACUAAGUCCUUACUAUAUAUUUAAAAGAACUCUCUUGCAGGUUUUGCAAAGCUAAAUUUGGAGAUCCUUGACUUAAGUUUCAAUUACCUCAAUGAUACAAUUUUAUUAUCUUUGAGUCAACUUUCAUCUCUCAAGGAUUUAUAUCUAGCAGGAAACUUGUUCACAGGAUCAACUCAUGCAAACGGUAAAGUUAAAAUUAAUCUAAUAAUGAUUAUGAAUGAUAUACAGUAACUAAAAUAUUAACUUGUGUUUAUUACAGGUUUCCAAUGGCUCUCAAGACUUGGUAAUUUGGAAACUCUUGAUUUAAGGGACAAUUCCUUGAAAAAUAACAUAUUGUUUCAUAUGAAUGGUCUUUCAUCUUUAAAGACUUUAAGAUUAAGUGACAAUUACUUGGAAGGAACGGUUCAUAUUCACGGUAAACUCACUUUACCUCUAAUUGAUAUUAAAGUCAAUUGUUGUUUCAAGGAAAGCUCUUGCAUAUUAUUUGAUUUUAUAUAUAAUAUAAUUAAUUACUUGUUGAGGUUGAAUAGAAUUGAAUAAUUUGACAAACUUGAAGAACUUGGAUUUAAGCUACAAUAGAAUUGAAAGCUUCCAACCAUCAAAGCAAGGUAUAAAUAUAUAUUUCAAUUCACUGAACUAAAAUCUUAAUUAUGUGAUCAGCAUAUAAAAUUUUUUAUUGACUAUAGUAUAUAAUAGAAUUAUAUAUUCUUGUAUAGGAAACGAGACACAACUGAGGUUGACCAAUUUGGAGGUACUUAAUUUGAGCGGUAAUCUCUUCAGGAACAACAUAUUUUCCUUCCUUCGGGGGCUUUCAACUCUAAAGUCCUUGCAUAUGAGGGAGAACCAAUUGCAAGGCUCAAUAGAUGUUAAAGGUAAAGCUUUUACAACCUUUUUUUUUAAAUUCCUUUUAGAAGCCUUAAACUCAUAAAAGAAAGUGUUUUGCUAAGUCAAAGGUAUUUAUUAAUUAAUCAAAAGGGCACAAAGCCAGCAUAAAGUUAAUGCAGCAAAGCAAAUAGAUUCUAUGCAUUCAAACCAGACAGACAAAACACCACCCAAAGUAUAUAACUGAAGACAAAACACUUAAAAGUUACACAACCUUACCCAUAAGCCAAUUACCUCCCGACCAAAGCGAGCUAUGUGUGUUUUCAAUUUCGUGUAUUGUCGGCAUAGAAUCAGUCUCCACUAUCACAUGCUCUGUACCCUGUUCAAAAGCUAGUUGCAGUCCCCAAAGGAUCGCUUUUGCCUCUGUAUGAAAGGAACUUUCAGUCCAGUCUACCCAAGUCACUGCUGAAAAAACCACGUUACUCUUUGAAUCUCUAAGAACAGCACCUAGCCCAGCUUCCUGUUCUCUGAACCUAUACACUGCAUCCACAAUGAGCUUUAACAUAUCCAGUACAGGAGGUUGCCAACUCUAUCCUUGUGGCUUCCUCGAGAUCAUAGUUGGUUGGGCAACCAGUUCUAGCCUUUCCCUCACAAGGGCUGUCUUUACCAAUGAUUUCCGCAUAGCACAUGUUACUCGAUGGAGGCUUUUAAUUACAAUCAUCGUAUUGUAAUUCUUAUUGUGUUAAUUAUAAUAUCAUAAUUCUUAAUAUUAUCAUGUUUGCUUAUAUAAUUACAUUAAUUAAGUUAACAAAUAUUAUAUUAUUUUCAAAAUGUGAAAUGAAACCCAGUUAAGAUGCUAAUUGUACCUUUUGUCUCUUGGAUAGUUGCACUUGCUAAUAUGACAACUUUUGGUUGCAAAAAAACAUUUCUUGUUCAUAAUAUCCGGUAGGAAAAAAGCCAUUAGCUUAAGAAUCAAGCUACACCUAUUGGGCAAAAAAAAAAAAAAAUCAAGCUACACCUAGUUAUGAAGGAGGAUGUCACUUAUUAAACAGUCAGUCAUUUCGAUUUUUGAUUGGGAUAAGAAAUUCGAAUCCAACUCUAUGUAAGAUAAAGACAACCAAACCAAGUAUUUAUUAUUGAAGUGAGAAAACCGAUACAUGACUGAAUUAGAAACAGUUGAGAAACCAUUUUGUAGUUUUUUUCUUUUUAAUUUUUGUUUCCUGAAGUUUCCUGAGUAUUUGUGUUAAUGGAUCAAGUCAAGCAAAUGGUAGAAUUAAAAUUAACCCAAUAGUGAUUAUGAAUGAUAUAUAGUAAUUAAAAUAUUAAUCUUUUUCAUUACAGGCUUCCAAUGGCUUUCAAGACUCAAUAAUUUGGAAACUCUUGAUUUAGGAUACAACUCUUUGAAAAAUAACAUAUUGUUUUAUAUCAAUGGUCUUUUAUCUUUAAAGACUUUAAGUUUGAUGAGAAAUCACUUGGAAGGAACUAUUCACAUUCACGAUAAACUUGGUUUACCCUUUUUUUACGUUUAAAUCAAUUGUUGUUUCAGGAAAAGGUAUUGCAUAUCAUUUGCUUUUAUACGUAUUAUUAAUUACUCAUUGGCAUUGAGUAGGAUUGAAUAAUCUGACAAAUUUGAAGAACUUGGAUUUAAGCGACAAUAAAAUUGAAAGCUUCCGACCAUCAAAGCAAGGUAUAAAUAUAUAUUUUAAUUUACUUAACUAAAUUCUUAAUUAUGUGAUUAACAUGUAAAAUUUCUCAUUGAUAAUAGCAAACAAUAGAAUUUUAUAUUUUUGCAUAGGAAACGAGACACAACUGAGGCUGACCAAUUUGGCGGAGCUUGAUUUGAGGGGUAAUCUUUUCAAGAACAACACAUUUUUCUUCCCUCGGGAGUUUUCAAGUCUAAAGUCCUUAGAUAUGGGGGAGAACCAAUUGCAUGGCUCAAUAGAUAUUAAAGGUAAAGCUAUUGCAGCUUUUUUUUUCUUCAAUUCUUUUUAGAACCUUUAAACUCAUCAAAUGAGUACAAUCUCAUAUCACAUUUGAGGAUUUUUCUUCUUCACUUAAAGCUUUAGAUUUAUUUUGCUGUUUAUUUCUUUAUAAAGUCAAUAAAAAUAUUCAAUAAAAGAUUAUUUGAAUAACCAAGCUAACAUAAUCAUUAUUUGAAUUGAACUUGGACAUAGAAUUGAAUAACUUGAUGAAUUUGAAGAAGUUGUAUUUAUACUCCAACAAAAUCGAAAGCCUUCAAUCCUUACAAGGUAUGCAUUUAUAUUUGAUUAAUUAGUUAAGUUGUUAUAUUUAAUUAAAUAUUGUGUAAAUCUUGUUUUAGUGAUGAAAUUAUGUAAACCUUAUGUAGAUAGUGGGAGACGGCUGAACUUGACCCAUUUAGAAGAAUUUGAGUUGAGAAAUAAUCUCAUUAAUGACAGCAUAUUUGCAUCACUUAGCGGGCUUUCAAAUUUGAAGUCUUUGGAUGUAAGCUACAAUCGGUUAAAUGGAUCAAUAGAUAUGAGAGGUAAAUUUCUUUUUUUUUUUGCAAAAAUUUUGAAUUUGUUAAGAAGAUCUUAAUUCAUGUUUCAAGAUGACAUAACAAAUAAGUUCAUCUAUUUCUUUUCUUUAAUGAUAAAAUUAUGUAAAUUAUUUAUAGAUAUAGGGAGAUAGUUAAAAUUGACCAAUUUCUAAAAGCUUGAUUUAAGUCAUAAUCUAAUUAAUUAUUACUUUUCAACCAAAAUUUCAACUCUAUUAUAAAUACUCUAAAAAAAAUACAUUUCAUAUAUUUAGAUGAUUUAAUGAAGUUUAUUCAUUACUUUUUUUCUAGGCUUAGGUGCUUUUACCAACUUAGAGGAACUGGAUAUGAGUUAUAAUGAUUUGAAUGAAUUUGUGAGCUGUAAAGGUAUGGAUUUAAAUAAAUUUUCUAUUUUUAUUUAUGAGGUUUAUAAUGAUGUAGAUGUUUUAAUGACCAAAAAAUUCAGCAUAUUAAAAUUUAAUGCUCAAAUUUUUAAAGGAAGAAAUUAAUUAUUUAUUAUAUGCUUUUUAUUACAAUGCUACAAUUCUCUAACUAUAAUAAAGAAGUAUGUAAGAAUCGAUUAUUUAUAAAUGUGACCUCCAUAUAAAAUUUUGUUAGACCUCACGUAAUUUUGAAUUGUGGCUAUUUAAUUGUAUUAUAAUGGUUGUAGGUGAAAUGCUCUCAUUAAAAUUAAUGUCCGAUUUUUUAAAGGAAGAAAUUCAUUCUAAUUUGAUUACUAAUUAGAAAAUGAUAUAUAUUUGCAUUAGAUAAUUGCUUUCUUUAAGAAGUGUUGCAACGACAUAUCAAAUAUUUCCCUUUUUGUUUGUAUUACCUUGUUGUGUCUUAGAGUUGGACUUGUUUGCCUUUUGUCAUUCUAUUUUAGAUUACUACGUAUUCUUAUUAUCGUUUAAAAAAUUUUGCCUUUUCAUGUUACCGUUUUGUUUGAUUUUCAUCUUUUUGAUUGUUUCGUAUAUUAAAAUUUAUAUUAAAAAUAUUUAACGAUUCAAUAUUCUUCUCUAUUAAAAAUUCAUUUUGCAUUAAUCUUAAAUAUAUAAUCUUAUCUACAAAAAUGAAAAUUUUCACUCAUUUAUUUUUUUCAUUUACAGAGUACAAGAGUUUGAAAAAGUUAAAAGUUCUUUGUCUAAAUAGGGUUUUUACCAAUGGAAGCAUUCCAUUACUACUAAAAUUAGUAGAGGCAUUCCCAUCGGUUAAGACCUUCUAUCUACUAAUGAAUUACUUAAACAAGACUAUGACUACUCAAGAUCAAGGUAAGUCAUUAAUUUAUUCCAAAAGGAUUAAAAAUUAGUAGAUGUUUGUUGAUUAACAUCUAAUAAUGCCUCCUAUGCUAUGAUUACUCAGAAUUGCAUGUGUGGAGCAAUGUGGAGGAAAUAUUUCUAGACGGUUCUUAUCUCAACAACAACAUUUUGCAAAGCAUUGGAGUAUUCACUUCUCUUAAAACUUUGUCUUUAUCUAGCUGUGGACUUACGGGUUCUUUACCUAAUCAAGGUAAAUUAAAGACUCCAUAAUUUCUCCAAUAUAACUUACGGAAUACAUCUCUUUCUAAUAAUCCUUUAUUCUAUUUCUUUUAUCUAAUAUCUCCUAUAUAAUUUGACAUGGAAAUUAAAAUUUAAUUAGAAUUUCUUCCAUGAAUUUAUAAAAUUUUCAGGUUGGUGUGAUUUAAAGAACCUUGAAAAGUUGGACAUCAAAGGGAAUGCAUUUGAGGGGAUACUUCCUUAUUGUUUGGGUAACUUGACAUCUCUUCUUAAGUUAGAUAUCUCCUACAAUCAAUUUACUGGAAAUUUGACUCCUUUAGCAAAUCUUUCAUCACUUAGAUCUGUCACCCUUUCAAAAAAUCGUUGUCAAAUUUCAAUGCCAUUCCUAUCACUUGCAAACCUUCCAAAUCUCAAGUUUCUCUUGGCUGAUGAAAACAAUAUAGUAAUGGAACCUAAUUCCUUUCAUACUUCAAUUCCAAAGUUUCAACUAAAUGUUUUCAGCUUGUCAAAGUGUACAACAGAUAAAGGACUUAGCCUACAACCUCCUAAGUUCCUUUAUUACCAAUAUGACUUGAGAUAUGUUGAUCUUUCCUAUAACUAUUUCAGUGAAACAGUCCCGUUAUGGUUGUUAGAAAAUAACACAAAAUUAGAACAUCUCUUCUUGUUGGGCAAUUCUUUCACCGGUCCUCUCUUGUUACCACAACUUCCUAAUCCUAAUGUGUCUGUAAUUGACAUAUCUAAUAACAAAUUACAAGGCCAAAUUCCGACAAAUAUAUGUUCAACUUUUCCAAAUUUGGAAUGGUUAUUCUUAUCUAAGAAUGCCUUUGAAGGUAAUAUCCCUCCUUGUUUAAGUGGCAUGGACACUUUAUCAUUUUUAGACCUAUCGGACAAUCAUUUGUCUGGAAGAUUACCAGAAGAGUUGAUCAUGGGAAGUUCAUUAGAUAUUCUUAGGCUAUCAAAUAACAACCUAAGUGGAAAGAUUGUUCCUAUGAUGUUCAACACAACAAGUUGUCAAAUUUGUAUUUGGAUGGCAAUAAUUUUGCCGGAGAGAUUCCUGAUAUUGAUGUCUCUGCUACUGAUUUGUCAUAUUCAUCACUAGAGGAUAUUGAUCUCAGUAAUAACAGUUUUAAUGGAAAGCUCCCAAGAUGGAUAGGGAAUGUAUCGCAUUUGAAGAGAUUGGCUUUGUCCAACAAUCAUUUCGAAGGUUCUAUUCCAAUGGAAUUGUGCAACUUGUAUGAGCUUGAAUUUUUGGAGCUUUCUGAAAACAAUUUAUCUGGCUCUAUUCCUUCUUGUUUCAAUCCACCAUAUUUGAGACAUGUCCACCUGAAGAGAAACAGACUAAGUGGUCCAUUGACACUUGUUUUUGAUAGCUCUACAUUAGUGACAUUAGAUCUUAGAGGGAAUAAUUUGACCGGUAAUAUUCCAAAAAGGAUUGGCACAUUUUCUACUUUAAGCGUCCUUCUUUUGAAAGAUAAUCAUUUAAACGGUGAAAUUCCAGUUCAAUUAUGCAAGUUGUAUUCAUUGAGCAUCAUAGAUCUUUCUGGAAAUAUGUUUUCUGGUCUUAUACCUUCUUGUUUGGGCAAUUUAACUCUGGCAAUGAAAGAGGAGAAGUCUGUCGUAGAUGAUUAUUUGUAUAUAUCAAAUCAAAUACAGGAUCCACUAGUACCAAUAGACAUUUGGUUUGAUUUAUCAUAUAUUCUUCCUCGUAGCUACAUGGAAGAAUGGAUAGAGUUUACAACAAAGAGUGUGUCCUACUCAUACGGUGGUGACAUUCUUAAGUACAUGUCUGGAAUUGAUUUAUCUUGUAACAGGUUAACUGGGCAAAUCCCAGUGGAACUGGGAAACCUGAGUGAAAUCCGUUCGUUAAACUUAUCACACAAUAACUUAGUAGGAGUUAUACCUUCAUCAUUUUCACAAUUUAAGCAAAUUGAGAGUUUGGACCUUUCUUACAACAACUUGAGUGGGAGAAUCCCUAUACAGUUGGUUGAGUUGAACUUUCUAGAGGUUUUCAGUGUGGCACACAACAACUUGUCAGGUAGUACUCCAGAACCAAAAGCUCAGUUUGGGACCUUUGAUGAAAGCAGUUACGAGGGAAACCCUCUUCUUUGUGGGCCUCCACUGCAAAAUAACUGCUCUAAAACUGACUCACCAACAACAGUACCAACUACAGCAGAUGAUGAAGGAGAAGGUAGUUUCAUGGACACAUAUGUUUUUUGUGUGAGCUUUCUGGUUUCAUAUGUAAUUGUUUUAUUGGUAAUUUUUGUUGUUCUAUACAUAAAUCCAUAUUGGCGACAAGCAUGGUUUUCUUUCAUUGAGAGUUGCAUCACAACUUGUCGCUACUCAGUUGCAGGCAAUUUUCUUGAGUUAUACAUCUUCAAAAGAUGUGUUUAGGUGUCAUAGGAGCUCUUAUGAUUUGCCUUUAGUUUGAUUGUGGUGAAGAUUUGGAUAAAGUUUAUUUUUGUUGUCAAAAGAAAUUUGGUGAUUUGAUCUUUUAAAUGAGGGAUUUCUUUUAGCUGAUUAUUCUGUUAAAAUGGUUGUAGAAAGAGUUGUGGAUUUGGUUACUCAGAUUGCUUAGAAAGAGUACUUUGAUGAUUUUGCACUUUCAACAGAGCUUUUUGUCUCCGUUGGAACUCUGUUUUUGGUAUUUGUUUUGUUUGGAAGGAAGCACUGUCUUUUGGAAAUUAGUAUUAGCUUUACAAAAUGAGCCAAUUCAGCAUUGAUCGAUGAAAAUGAUCGCAAAAUGCAUUUAUUUUUUUAUAGGGUUACAAAAUAUUCCAAAAUAAAAAUAAUAAUAAUAAGUUGAUAUAUCUCAUACGCAAGAAAAUCCCAUCAAAUAAAUAAAUUAAAUGCAUAAUCUUUCAAAGCAAUAAUAAAUAUAGGGUGUUAGCUACUGGGACAAGGACUUAGUAUAGUUUGUUAAUUAAUUAUUUUAUGAUUGUAAUUUGAUUAUGAUGUAAUAAUUAAUUAUUUAAUUAAUUAUAUGAUAUAAUACUUGAUUAUUACUAUAAAAAUUUUUAAAAAAUAAUUAAAAUUUCUGAAUUCAUGCUUUGCAUGGUUAAUUUUUAUUUAUAGUACUACUUUUUUUAUAACUUAAAAUUUGUUAAAUGUAAAACUUUUACCAUUAAAUUUAGUGAAAAUACAUUUAUUUAUUUAUUAACAAAGAAUAUAAUUUAAACUUAUUUUAUUUUAUUCUUUUAAAAUAAUCAAAAAUAUUUUCAAAAUUUUAAUUGGAUUUAUUUUUAGAUAAUUUUAAAAAUAUAUUCUUUCACAUUGAUUUGAUAAUUUUGAUGUGUUUUUUUUACAAAAGUCUUAUUUUAAUUUUUAAUGAAAAUAAUUUAGUAGUAAAAGAGGAAGAUUAAAAUGUUUUAUGUGAUUUGAUUUAAAAAAAUUUUAAUUGGAUAUUUGAAUUAUAAUUUUUUUAAUUAAUAUGAUAUGCUAUUUAUUAAUCACAUGUCAUUAUUUAAAACUUAUAAGAUUAAAAGUAAAUAUCAAAUUAAUUAAUAAAUUUAUAAUUUAAAUUAUUAAAAAAUUAUAAAAUUCAAAUAUUUAGUUUUUAAUAUUAACUUAAAAAUCUAUUCAUAUAUUGAAAAUAAACCCCUAAAAAAUGAUCAAACUACCCCUCUCUUGGUGUGAUACGAAUUUGACAUAUAACCAAAUUGAUUAUUUUGCCUUCAUACCAUAAUUAAAAAAUAUCCUUUUCUUUUAUAAUUAUUUACUAUAAUACUCCAUAUCAUAAUUAUAGAAAAUUCUUCUCUUAAAUUAAUUAUUAUACUCUCAUACCAUAAUAAAAAAAAUACAUAUUCUCUUAUAAUUAUUUAUUAUAAUAUCCUCGUACCAUAAUUAUAAAAAUGUUCUUUUAUUAUUAAAUUACAAAAAUACAAUUCUCUUAUUAUUGACUCAAAUUACUAUAAUACCUUCCUGACAUAAUUAUAAAAAUACAUUUCUCAUAAUUGAUCAAAAUUACUAUAAUACUCUUUCACCAUAAUUACAAAAAUGUUUUUAUGAAUGCUUAAUAGAAAGUUGACAUGUGAUACUUUGUUUCAAAAUUAAUAACAUAUAUUAAAACAAUCUUUUUGAUAAUUAGUAUAACAACCCUUUGUUUAUUUGAUAUGAUAUCGAUAUGUAUCUAAAUUUACUAUAAUACAUUUAUAUCAUAAUUACAAAAAUACUUAUCUUUUUAUAAUUAAUUAAAAUUAUUAUAAUACUCUCUUACAAUAAUUACAAAAAUACCUCUCAUAGUAUAAUUGACUAAAAUGACUAAAGUAUGGUUCUUAAUAAAAUUACAAAAAUACCCCUACCACAAAUGGCAAAAAAUUACUAUAAUGCCUUUCAAAUGGAAAUGCUUUUAUGAGUACCUCAUAAGAAGUUAACAUGUGGUAUUUUGUUUCAAAAUUACUAUAACACAUCUAUUAAAUUAUAUAUUAAUUUUUAACUUAAUAUAAAAUUAAUCACAUAUUAAAGUAUUAAAAUAUCAUUACAAUUGGUUUAUAAAAAUUUGACAUGUGAUAUUUUAUUUAAAAAUUACUAUAAUAUCAUUAUUAAAUUACAUAUGAAAUUUUAACAUCAUAUAAAAUUAACUACAUACUAAAUUACUAAAAUACCUUGGCCGUUGCUUAAUAAAAAUUUGACAUGUGAAAUUUUGUUUUAAAUUCACUAUAAUAACCCUAUUAAAUUCUUAUUAAAUGGUAAAUAACAUAUUAAAAUAAUUCCUGUAGAAAUUGUUAUAACACCACUUUGUUGAGUUGAUGUGAUUUUGAUAUGUAUCUAAAUUUAUUAUAAUGCUUUUACAUUAUAAUUAAGAAAAUACCUUUUUUCUUAUAAUUAGUCAAAAUUAUGACAAUGCCCUUCUACCAUAAUUACAGAAAUACCAAAAUUACUAUUAUGUCAUGCUAUUAUAAUUACAAAAAUACUCCUUAUUAUAUUUAAUCAAAAUUACUAUAAUACCCCUAAUCCACGCCUACUUCACUGGAUCCUUUUUCCCAUUUAAAGCAUCAAUCUAUUUUGGUAUCAUUAAUUAUUUUCUUAUCGUCAAGGUUUACCUUUGGUUUUUCUGGAGGAUCCAAUACCAAAGUGGUACCAUGAUACUAGGAUAAAAGGCUUAUUGCAAGUAGAAUAUCGAAUUAUAAUGUGGCUCUCUGAAAUCCCUGUCCUUCCCUCCCAGGAUUUAGAAGUGAUAAAAUCCAUGUAGCGCUUCCCGGAAUUGAAAUCUUCUGGUGAAGUAUUACUUAGCCGUGCUAACUGAAGUCUUCCAACAUUUGCUCUCCUUAUGUGGGAACUAAGCUAAAUAGAGAACUCAAUUAUUUUGUUUGCUUAGAAUGGCAAGGUUAUUUUCUAAAACCUUCUAAAAAAUUGAGGUGAUAGAGGCAAAGCAGCUUAGAAGAUUUGAGGUAGAAUAAAAAAUGAGAGAAGAGUGAGCUUACCACUAUGAAUGCAAAAAUUCACCUGUGGCUGUGUUUAUUCUAAACCUUUUAGCCUUUGUUAUGUGUGCUUGAUCGUCAAUGAUGAAUUAUUACUUUCUUCCUUUAUCCUUUUUCAGGGUUUUUUUUUUUUUUUUUUGGUAUCAAUGUAAAUGAUUGUUGAUAAGCUGGCUGGCAUUUAUCUUGAUCCCUCUACCGUUUAGCUUAGGGUAAUUGUACUUUGUAAUAAUAAUAAUAAUUUUUUAAUUAUUGACCGUAGUUGAAAGUAGGCGGUAUGAACUUUACCAACACGGUAUGCUAUCCUUGUAGUCUAUGAAUUUUAAAUUGGGUUGAAGUUCAACUCAUGUCUUAUGUUCUUUUUUCUGUUAGUUAAAAGAAAAGGGAAAAAGGAAAAGCCAGUUAUGUUAUUGAUAUUCUUUUUAUGUUGUCCAGUUGGUAAAAGAGAAUUCAGUUGAGAAUAAUAUGGUCAUUACAUGUAUGUUACAGGUUUUGGAAAUCAUUUAACCUGAAAUGCCUGUAUAUAUGGUGUUGCAACGUGGAUAUCCACCAACAUCGACAGGUCCUAAGCGGAGCAAACUACUGCAAAAGAAUAAUGUAGUGAUAACAACUUCAAGUUGUGAUCUGUGUUUUCAGUUGCGAGGCUUGCGUGAUGGUGUCUCAACUCUCUCAACUAAGUUUUGCAGACCCUUGGUCAAUUUCUGGGUCGAUUGGAAUGGAAUUGGGGGAGAGGGGAGUUUGCAAAAUCCAACAGUGGCACUUUCCAAGAGAUGGUUUUGAGAACCAAACUCAGGUAAGUGAUGAAUAUUGAGUUGAACAUUCCAAAAGAUUUGGGUUUCAGUGGUAUUCUAGCCUUUCCUCUUCUCAAUACAAUCGAUUUGAUCCAUUUUUUACAAAAAUAACAAUACCUUACGCAAAGAGGCUAUUUUUUACAAAUAUAACAUUCUCUUACAAAUAGAGUUGUGCAUGAAUAAGUUGGAUCAAAUAAAAUAAAAUUCGAUUGAUACUUUUAAGUAGAAUUGAUAAUUCAUGUUAUUGUAUUAUGUAAAAUAUUAUAUUUAUAUCAUAUUUUAUAUGAAAAUAAUAUAUUACAGUUUUAGAAAACAUAAAAUAUAAUUUUUUAAUUUUAUUAAAUUUAUUUAUAAUUUUUUAAAAAAAUUUAAAUUAUAUUAUUUUUAUAUCUUUUUGUUGUAUCGUAUUUUAAAAUGACAAAUUUACUUUUAAGUCUAGGAUCUAUCUGACCCAUCUAUUUAUAUCCAAAUCAAUCAUUUUUACUGUUUAAAAAUAUUAAAAAUUAUUUCUAUAUUAAUAAUUUUAAUAUGUUCUAAAAUAUUUGAAUUUCAAAUUUAAAUAAAAAUUAUUUAUUACCGUAAAAAUAAUCCAUUGUUGCCCAAAAAAAAAAAAUCCAGAUCAAGUCAAGUAAAACCUGACCCUUAAAAUCCAACUCCAAUGAAAUUCGAUUAGAAAUUAAACUAUCAUUUUAUACCAAAAGGUUUGUCUUGCAAAUUUUAGUUCGGUUUUUAGAACUUCUUUGUCAUGUAACAUUUAUACACAACAAUCUAAUUUCCCUAUCUUCUCAACUUAUAUUCUCACCAAAAAAACAUAUAUUAAAACAAAUCCAGAAAGGGAACCAUCCGAACCUGAAUUUUUACUGUAACAUCAAACAAUCUGCUCCUUAGAAAUCAACUCUAGGCUUGAUUUUGUAACAACCAAACUGUGAUCCUUUUUUAAGGCUUUAUGAAAGGUGCUUGGUCAAAAAUUUGCACCCGGGUCGUGUGUGAAGAAUUAUAAGUUGUCCAUUUACACUGUAAUUAACUAAUUAAGUUUACCUUAGUAAAUCAAAAUUCAUGAAUUCAUAAAUUCUGAAGAUUGGACAAUCCUCAUUAGCUACUUCAAAUUUGCGAGCACAUGUCACGGUCGUAAGCUCUUGAUGCCGAUGAAAUUCAAAAGUUGCUCUAUAUCCUGCAAACACAGGGAAGACUUUUGUGAAUUCAUUUCAAAAUGAAUAUUUGAAAAUAUAUAUAUAAUUAAAAUGUCAUGCAUCUCAACAAACAUUUUUUUGUACAAAAAAAAAAAACCCUGUAGCCUAAAAAUAGAGAAAGAACUUGUAGGUACUAAAUUUUGAAUCUAAUAUCUGUUAAAUGUCGCUUAUGACUGCAUAAACCAAUUGAUUUAACUCAAGAAACAUUUUGCAAAAAGGAACAUUGACUAACUCUUAAAACAUUAGUACAACGAAUUAAGACAAGGAUGAAUGCUAGCUUGACCCAUUGAGAUUUGUCACGCACCCAUACAUUCAUAUGAAUAUGAAGUUGGUCACAAAUAUACAUUUCUAACCCAUUUGCAGUAUGUUGGCCUUCUAUGCUCAGAUAACAAAAUUUAAAUUCCUUAACAGAUAAUUAUAAGGUUAGUAUGUGUUAGUCUCAUUUGAGAAGUAUCCACUCUUUCUCUACUUUUGUUCUUCUUUGCAAACCCCUUUUAACCUAAAAUGAUAUUUGGCCUUAACCAUAUUCAGUAAAAUAUAAAUAGACCAUGGAGACAAGCAACUUAAUCUGGUCUACCAAUGAUUGACUGAACUCCCUUCUAUAUAAGUGUUCAGGUUUAAUGCUUGCUAUAUUUGAAAUUGAUUAACAACAUCAUAAAAACUUCAAUAGUUAGUUACCAUAAAAUGGCAAUUUCUUUCAUUAAAAUGUUACAAAUAUCAGAACAGCUAGAAGAUAUACAAUGGUAAAACAAGUAAACAAGCAGAAUGUUACAUAUGGGUUUACACUUGAUACACUAAUGUAACAAUUACAGUGGAUUUGGGAAACUAUUUCCGAUUAAGGAGUUGGGAAUAGAAUUAUUUAUAUGAAAACAAAGAUUAAAAUUUUAAAAGAGAAGGGACAUAAGAGGAGAAAGAGAAGGGACCAAAAUUGGAACUCAAAUAAUUUCCAUGUUUCCCAAUUAGCCUUUGAUAAUUUAGGAGACAGGAGAUUUUGAGUGCUAUUGGAUGUAAGGUCUGACCAUCAUCAUGGUUUUUCCUAUUUAGUGAAUAAUCCUAUAUCAGACAUUUAAGAAUAAGGACUGAGCAAAUUAAAAUUCAUUGAUGUGCAAGAAUUAGAUUAUUAGAACAAACAGUAAACUUAGAAAAGAUAAACCACAUAGAAAGUUAGAAGCAGUGCAAACUUAUUACAAUAAUGCAAGUGGAUUAUAAGUGAGCAUUUCUCCUUAAGGAAUUUGCAACUAAGGCAUUAUAAACAAAAGAGAAGAAAAGAAUAAACUUCUGGAAAGAAUUUUCAAAGUAGGGAAACAAGGGAAGAGGAAGAGAAAGGGCCAGAAACUGGAAAAACAAAAGUUUGGUCAUUACCUUUCCCAUUUAGAUGUUUAGCAGAGUUAUGGGGAAUGGGAUUUGAGUGCCAGACCUCUUUUAGACGUAAGGUGCGGCUAUUAUCACAUUUUUCAAAUCUGUUGAUAAUCCUUCAUCUCAUCUCAUAGUUAAAAAUAAGGAUUUCAUGUUACAUUCUGAUAGAGCUGGUGACAUUUAUAGAUUGUCUUAAGAGCCUAUUCCCUGAAACUGGAUGAAAUUAAAUACAAAAUCUACGGACUUUUCAACCAUGAUGAUGAAUCUUGAUUAGCCACCGCCAACAACAUAAUAUGACUUGUAAAGGCCGAAAACAAACAAGCACUCUUUUUCAAAGCUGUGGAUGCACAGCAUCUUAUAGUAACUGUAAAGGACAAGCAAACUUUGAAGAGGUUUGAAUCCAAUAACAUACAUAAAAAAAUGCAAAAGAAGAAUAAUUCACCAAAAAAAUGAUAGCAUUUGAAAACUCACCUUGUUCAACAAGAAUACUGCAUAUGCUGCUUUUGUUGUGUCUUGACCUUCUAAAAACAAUGGAAAUUCUGCAGGCUUUACAUUUGCAGAAAGUGAUGUAUUCCAUGACAAAUCAGAAGAUGUAGGCUCUACUGAAGGUGCAUGGUUGUUAAUGUAUGAGUGGGAACCACCCAAGCGCAGAGGAUAACGUAAGGGAACUUGUAAAUAGGAUGCAAUUAGUGAAACAGCCUGUAAAUGAAGAAUUAGCGAGAAACAAGAAAGAAUAAUUAGGUAUAAUUAAAAUUAUUGCCUCAGCAAGAGAAACAAGCUAUCAAGACUGUGCCCAAGAUACUAUAUUUCCAUUUAAGCAACAUAAAAUAACAGCAUUAUCCUUGAGCAACAAGGGAUUGUAGGUGGUAUAUACAAAACUUGAUGCCUAUAGCUUGAUAUUAUCAGAAAACAAAUUCAGUAAUAAAGGAUAACUUUAUAUUAACCAAAGGAAUAGAACUCACAUGUCCAACAUAUCCUAAGGCAGUUGCAGAUCUCUGAACCUCCUUUUUGCCAGUGAAAAAACUCAUCUUUGUAAAAGGAAGCAUGGCGAGAUUCAGACCUAAAAUCAUCAAGGAUCCUUGGUUAAUGGGCUUAGAUACAGAAGAAUUCCUUGGUGAAGACAACAACAAAAGGAACUUGGCAUCAGCAUCAACAAAAGGAACUUAGAUACAGAAUAUUCAAUUAAAUAUAAUGUAAGUACAAGAUAUCCAAAAACUCCAUAAUAUCUAAAACCCGAAACUAUUAGCACGUUACCUAGUGUACUACUGCUUGGAUAGGAUUCAAGUUCUUGCUCUUGUGUGGAUCCAACCAAGAUUUUUACGGGAUAGAGCAAUGAAACUUGUGAUACCAUAUAUUGUUGCCUUGCUCGAAGCUUCCUAUGCACAUUUUUUAGCUUAAUGUCCCUUUCUUCAGUGAGUAAUCCAUUUGAUUCCUGUAAUAAAAUCGUCAGACAAUCAAUCAUGCAAUUUAUGAAAUAGUACUGAAUAUAUGAAAAAGAAGGGAAAGAAAUAAGAGCACAAGAAGGGAAUAAUCCCCGACUAUUUCAAGGAAUUUAUAGAAUGAGAAUCCUUCCCAUCUAAUCCCCCCCAUGCACCUCUACCCAGGGUGUAAGGGGGGAAGAGAGAGAGGAUUUCUUGCAUUAGAGGGGAGAAUAUCUAACAUCUAAAGCUAAAUAAGCAAAUAACUUCUAAAUUAUCAUAUAUUAAACCUUCCUCAAAACAUCAAAUGAAAUUCCAAAGAUAACUGACAUUUCAAGUGAGAACAAAAAUAUUUCACCUGCAAUUGCUUCUUUGCUACAGAAAGAGAGAUACCAGCAACCAACAGUGAUUCACUUCAGCACUAAGCAUUUCCUCCUGUUUUUUAGCAUCCUCUGUUGCAACCAUGCAACGAGUUAACAUGUUUCCCAUAACUAAUUUUCUUGCAUCUAGUCUUUCACGCAUUACCUCCAGCUCAUUCAGUUGAUUCAAUGACUCAGUUUUGACCUGCACAGCAUUUUCCCAUGCGCUAAUCAGCAGGCCAAUUAAUUAGGUCCAAUAUAUCCCACCAAAAGAGAUUGAGAGAAGAUGCUAAAAAAUUUCGUGCAGACAAAACAAUAUCAAAUUACAAACUCCAUCUGUUCCUUCAACUGUUGUAUGUCUUUCUUAAUUCAACUUUUUAGAUCUCCUAAUAUUUAAUGAAAAAAGGAAAAUGCAAAUGCAAUGCGUUAUCCACUUUUCAAUGGUAUGUUUGAAUUACAAUAUAAAACAAUUUAAGGGACCUAAAAAACAGAGAAGUGGAAAGAAAAGAUAAAAGGGAAGAAAAGAAAUUAAAUGGAAGCAAUAUAUAAAUCUGGUACAAAUGGCAACAAACCUUGGAAUAAAAGGGCUGUGGGCCAAUUAAGUGAAGGCAUCCAGCCAAAUUCAAUAUUUAAGAUUUUGUUAAGGAAAAAGUUCAAUUAUCCAAGGCAAUUCUCUUCUCUUUUCUUCCGAUAAAGCUUAAGUGAUAAUUCUUCUUUCUCCUAUUCUUGGUGAAACAUUUAUACAACCCAACAGAAAUCAUAGUACUCCAACUAAAAUUAGUGGCUCUACCAAUUUCACCAUCUACACUGUCCAACAAGUUGACAAUUAAGUGAAGACACCAGAAGUGAAGACCCAGAAAUCUAUUUUCUUCGCUGCUCUAGGGCUAAGAGCCUAUCAGCUGUCAAACACAGCUAAUAAAAGUCCAGUGGGAAAAAAAUUAUAUAUACAGAAAACUAUAACUUCAUCCUACCAUUCUUCAAAAUAACAACAGUUGAGCCAUAAACAUAAAAAUGAUUCCAUUAUUAUGGUUCCUUUCCCCACCUAAAACUCCUUAGAAAAUUUACUGCACCUUACUACAUCUAGAAUCCAUAAAACCUCUAAAUUUUUAUUUCUCUAGUUGAUCCCACUGCUUUAGAACUUUUCUUCUUCUAUUCUUUUUCUUUUUCCUUGGGAAAACAAUUAACAUAAAAACUGAAUUACUACUCCAAAGUUCUACAAAUUCAGCAAUGCGCAUUUAUCUUUCACACAAUCCACUACCAGUCAACAAACAAAAUCCCAAAUUUCCUUUCCCAUUAAAACCCCUAUUUCUCUCUUCAAAUUCAGGUUACAAACAAAAAAUUCGAAACUGAUGCACUAAAAACAACAUAAUUCUCCCAAAUAAUAUAUUUUUUAACCAAAUUUUAAUCAGAAAACGCCUUACCUGAAUAAGUGACUGGAGUUUUUCUUGAAGACUUUUCUUCUUAUCAUUGGAUUCUUUAAGGGCAGAAGUUAAACUCCACAAUCUAGCAAGCUUAUGCUCGAAAUCUUCCCAUUCAAUUACUAGCACAUCUUCUUCUGCUGCAUUGAUUUCCUUCGGGUCGAUAAUUAGGGUUUUGUCUCGGUCCCGUUGUUCUGGAUUUCCAUGAAAGAAUUGAAGAGGAAAGCUCUCGAUUUUGGGAGUUUAAGAAGAAGCCAUAGGUCGACCUCAUCGUACAACGUCUCGCCGGAUUAGAGUUGUUUUUUUUUUUAUUGUUUUAGUUUCAUGACAAUCGAAUCAUAUUGUCGGGAAAAAUUAUUUUCCAGGGAUCAUUUUCACCGGAAAUUGCAGGGGUAAAACAAGAAUAGGAAUUUUGGGUGUUUUUGUCUGUAGAAAGUCAACGUUGACGGAGAAUCACAGGUGUUGGUAAACGGAGGAUUUUUCCUUGUUGAGACUGAUAGGCUAUUCUCUGCCUACAAUUAUCUUUAUGGCAGGUUAAAUCAUUUUAAUACUAAUUAAAAUAUUCAUUGGUCCUUGAUCUCGUCUCUCUCACUGUACUCUAACUCCAUCUUUCAUUUCACCUUCCCUUUCAACGAAAAAAAAAAAAACCUCGAUUCCAAUGUUGAAAUGGUAAGGAAGCGAGUACCUGUUCCAGCGCCUUUUUCAAUGGGUGGUGUUUUCUUUCGUGCAAAACUUUUUUUUAACGAUGCCAAUUUAUACAAAAAAAAAAAAAAAAAAAGAUUGAGAUAAAUACAUGGAGUAAAUCAUAAGAUAUAUUUAUUAGGUUCGCAAUAGGUGGUGUUGGAAUGAAUUUUUAUUUAUUUUGAAUUUAAUUUAAUUUUAUAUUAUUAAAUUUAAAUUUAAUUUGAUUUAAAAUUUUUUAAAUUUUUUAUAUUUGAUUUAUAUAGUAUAAAUCGAAUCUGAUUCAAUCUUACUUAAAAUUAAUAAAAUAUUAUUUUUUUAAUAUAAAAUAUUAUUUUUUGAAAUAUAAAUAUUUAAAUAUAUAAUUAUAUAAAUAUAUAUAAAUAAAAAAUUAAAUAAUUAAUUAAAAAUAAUUUUUAUACAAAUUUAAUCUAACUCCGAUUUUUUUUUAGCUUUAUCUAAUGACUUAAAAUUUGAUUUUUAAAAAAAAAAAAUGACCUUAUGAUGUCAGAUCGAAUAAAAACCUGUCGAAAACAAGAUAAACUGAAUUGUCAACUCUAAGAGCUAUGAAAAAAUUUUUAAAUUAUUAAUAUAAGUUUUACAAAUGAUAAAUUAUCCUUAAAAAAAAUAAUGUUUAAAAUUUGAUUUUAAUUGAAUUAAUUNNNNNNNNNNNNNNNNNNNNNNNNNNNNNNNNNNNNNNNNNNNNNNNNNNNNNNNNNNNNNNNNNNNNNNNNNNNNNNNNNNNNNNNNNNNNNNNNNNNNNNNNNNNNNNNNNNNNNNNNNNNNNNNNNNNNNNNNNNNNNNNNNNNNNNNNNNNNNNNNNNNNNNNNNNNNNNNNNNNNNNNNNNNNNNNNNNNNNNNNNNNNNNNNNNNNNNNNNNNNNNNNNNNNNNNNNNNNNNNNNNNNNNNNNNNNNNNNNNNNNNNNNNNNNNNNNNNNNNNNNNNNNNNNNNNNNNNNNNNNNNNNNNNNNNNNNNNNNNNNNNNNNNNNNNNNNNNNNNNNNNNNNNNNNNNNNNNNNNNNNNNNNNNNNNNNNNNNNNNNNNNNNNNNNNNNNNNNNNNNNNNNNNNNNNNNNNNNNNNNNNNNNNNNNNNNNNNNNNNNNNNNNNNNNNNNNNNNNNNNNNNNNNNNNNNNNNNNNNNNNNNNNNNNNNNNNNNNNNNNNNNNNNNNNNNNNNNNNNNNNNNNNNNNNNNNNNNNNNNNNNNNNNNNNNNNNNNNNNNNNNNNNNNNNNNNNNNNNNNNNNNNNNNNNNNNNNNNNNNNNNNNNNNNNNNNNNNNNNNNNNNNNNNNNNNNNNNNNNNNNNNNNNNNNNNNNNNNNNNNNNNNNNNNNNNNNNNNNNNNNNNNNNNNNNNNNNNNNNNNNNNNNNNNNNNNNNNNNNNNNNNNNNNNNNNNNNNNNNNNNNNNNNNNNNNNNNNNNNNNNNNNNNNNNNNNNNNNNNNNNNNNNNNNNNNNNNNNNNNNNNNNNNNNNNNNNNNNNNNNNNNNNNNNNNNNNNNNNNNNNNNNNNNNNNNNNNNNNNNNNNNNNNNNNNNNNNNNNNNNNNNNNNNNNNNNNNNNNNNNNNNNNNNNNNNNNNNNNNNNNNNNNNNNNNNNNNNNNNNNNNNNNNNNNNNNNNNNNNNNNNNNNNNNNNNNNNNNNNNNNNNNNNNNNNNNNNNNNNNNAGUACCCUCAUACCAUACUUAUGAAAAUAUCUUUUUUCAAAAUUACUAUAAUGCUUCUUAUAUCAUAAUUACGUAAAUAUCUUUAUGAGUGCUUUAUAAGAAGUUGAUAUAUGACAUUUUAGUUUUAAAAUUAUUCUAAUAUCCAUAUUAAAUUACGUAUUAAAUUUAAUAUAUUAUAAAAUUAACUACAUUAAAUUAUUAAAAUACUCUUAUCAUUACUUUAUAAAAUUUAAUAUGUAUCAUUUUAUUAAAAAUAAUUAAAAUUAAAUGAUCAAAUAAACUAAAUAAUUAUAAUUUUAUUAAAAUGAAAAAAUUAAAUAAUUUUAUAUUUAAAAAUAAAAAAUAUUUAAUCCUCAAUAUAGUGGCGAUCGCACGCUAGUCUAACAUCAAAAACACCCACAACACCAAAAUACAAAACUUCUCCCCUCCGCCUCCAACCUUUCUAACGGCUCAGUCACGCGCGCCAAACAAAAGCAUCCCUGAACCAAAAUUUUACCCCCCAAAAAAUAAAUCUCUUCUCUCUCACUCGUCUCCUCAGCCGUCUCGAUAUUCUCAUUUUUUUUCUUCUCCACUUUGAAAAAAAAAGGCCUUUCUUCACUUAUUUUUCUAAUAUCUCUCUCUGUCUCUCCCGAUGACUUAGCCGCCUUCCAUUGCCGGAACCCCAAAGGGCAAUAGCUGGGACUCGUAAAAGGGGAGGAAACAAAGCAAAAGUUAAGAAUUUAAGUUUAGGAGAUCUUGUUCUUGCCAAAGUCAAGGGUUUCCCUGCUUGGCCUGCCAAGGUCUCCUCCCUUUUAUUUGAUUAUUAUUGCUACUUUUUUUUAUCCUGAAUUAUGGGUAUUUUAUAUUUUGAUGAUUAUAUUUUUAAUUUCUUAUAUGUUUAUUUGAACUUAUGAAUUUGAAUAAAUCCAUGAUGAGUUUGGGAUUUUUUUUUUUUUAAGUUUUGCAUGAUGUAGGUAAGUUUCUUUUAUGCUUACAUUGUCUUGCUUUGUAUUUUAUUUGUUGGUUUUGUACUCAAUUUGUUUCCUUUAGUAAAUUUUGUUUUAUUUUGUGAAAGGCCUAUUUUUGGAGUUAAAAGUUUUGCCAUGCGUAUGUUAGCUGAUUGUGUUUUUAGUGUUUCAGGUUUGGUACUUUGCCUGUUUAUCAAUUGGGUUACUUAAUGCAACUAUGCAAGUUCUUUAUUUUGGGUCUGAAAAAAAA
This 45458-nucleotide long non-coding RNA is filed under the name Durio zibethinus. RNAcentral describes it as "long non-coding RNA (DZIB_LNC001576)". Lineage: Eukaryota; Viridiplantae; Streptophyta; Magnoliopsida; Malvales; Malvaceae. The record is from RNAcentral.